Molecule: long non-coding RNA, 70666 nt
Filed under: Cucumis sativus (cucumber)
Lineage: Eukaryota; Viridiplantae; Streptophyta; Magnoliopsida; Cucurbitales; Cucurbitaceae
Description: long non-coding RNA (CSAT_LNC003095)
Source: RNAcentral
UUUCUCUCUCCAACGGUCUGUUUUAUGUUGGAGACUUGUGGAAGCAGAGGUGAAGAAACUAUAAUUGAACUGGAUUUGCAUGGAGCAUUGUGAUUUUCAUUUCUGUCAAGUUUUUGCUUGAGAAAAACUUACACUCAAACUUAUAUGGAGAUGCUUUAUUUACCUAGCAGAGAAGCCCUAAGAAAAGUAAUAUUGUUAAGUGUCUUCGUGAGAUUAUGUCUUUCGGUAGUGUUGAAAGAGCUGCUGUUUCUAAUUUUGGUUCAUUUCUUGUUAUGGGAGAUUGGUUUAAGAUAUGGAAUAAAUGUAGUUCAUUUCAGGGUAAUAAUGUUGGCAAAGCUUUUUAAUAUUCCUUCACACAACCAUGGUUCCCUUUAUUCAGUCACCUUUAUUUUCUUGUGGCAGGCUACAUUAAGAUAUAUCAAGGUUGGAGACCAAAGUUGAGAGGCUAAAGUCCUUUUACAUGUAUUGGUGCUUUCUUGAUACACUCAAAUAUUUCUCUAUUAUUACUUGUUUUCUCCACUGAUAUGUAUCAUAAGACCUUUUACAUGUCUUCAUCAUGAUACUUAAAAUACAAAGCUCAACCUCUUUUUUGCCACUCCAUGGCAUGAGUAUCCUGGCCCAUUAGUCAUUUUUCUUGAAAACUUAAACCAGGUUAUGGAAGGCAUAUUUGAGAGUGUUUUUAGAAACUAGUUAACAAAAUUGAUUUUUAUUAAUAAAUGUUUUGUUCAAAGUGAUUUUCAUGGCAUAUUAAAGUUUGUUUGUGUGUAUACUUUUAAAAGUGAUUUUGUAACAUAAAAAGUAAUUUCCAAUGACUCGAAAACAUGUUUGGAACUUAACAGAGGUAGGAAAAAUUCAAAUGGAAAAAUAGACAUGGUAUGUUGGCUUGUCUGAUUCUUACUUGUUUUCUUUUAUUUAUUUUUUUGAAAAAAUUGAUGAGAUAUGAGAUUAGUUUGUUGUUGAUUGUUCUAUCAUUAUGGUUUUGAUCUUAACUAUCUUUUUCUCUCUCUCUUUGGUCUUUUGUGUUGCUUUUGAUUCUAUAUGUUCUUAAUUUUAAUGUCUUGGGUCUUUGUCGAUGGUGGAGAUUAGAGAUGCUUGUGUUCUUAAGAAGAUAAUGGAAGAAUUUUUUAUUUGUAUUAUGUGAGAUUGUUUUGAGUUUCAUUUUGCAUUUGUUGGAAUGGAAAGAAAAAUUACUCUGUUAUCCAUGCAUAGUUAAGUUUUAGCUAAGUGUCUUCGUGAGAUUAUGUCUUUCGGUAGUGUUGAAAGAGCUCCUGUUGUCUAAUUUUGGUUCAUUUCUUGUUAUGGGAGAUUGGUUUAAGAUAUGGAAUAAAUGUAGUUCAUUUCAGGGUAAUAAUGUUGCAAAGCUUUUUAAUAUUCCUUCACACAACCAUGGUUCCUUGUAUUCAGUCACCUUUAUUUUCUUGUGGCAGGCUACAUUAAGAUAUAUCAAGGUUGGAGACCAAAGUUGAGAGGCUAAAGUCGGUAGUACAAGUUAAAGAUAUGGAGAUUGCAACAGUUACACGAAUAGUACAAUCUCGAGACUUACCUAAAUUCUAUGAUUUCUCUCUAUUUAACAUUGAACAAGGAAGUUCUUUUCCACAGGAAGCCAAAGGUAAGGUUGCUUUUAAAGCUCAAAUUGACAAGCUACAGUAGGAAAAUGUUGAACUCCAGAGAAGGGUUAUUGGCAAUCAGGUUAUGGUAGUUGGAUGCUGUGAGAUAGAUACUAGUUUCUAUGUAAUAAUUUUAGUACUAAUGUUGUUUUCUGUUUGUGUGCAAAGCAAGUAGGAACUCAACAAAUACCUGAGGUGAAGAAGAAAGAAAAGGAGUACAUCAAAUUGUGUGUGAGAUACCUUUUAGUUAUUUUUCGGUUCUAGGCUCAAGUUGGACUCUGUUAGAGGUGUUUAUUAUUUACAGCUGAGAUAGGAGCUUUUGUAUGUCUAAACCAAGUCUUAAGGGAGAAAAAGAAAGAAUUCCUACCAAACCCUUCCACCAAGACCAUAGAUUCAGGUUAUAUAGGAGUUUUUGUAUGUCUAAACCAAGUCAAGUCUUAAUGGAGAAAAAGAAAGAAUCUAUAUCAGGAACGGAGAUAGUGAAUUUGCUACAAGUAUAUUUUAGUUAUUUAUCAAUAUUUUACCCAUAAUGGAUCAUUCCUUUCAUUUACUGGCUUUUGUAAUGUAUGAUAUGAACAGAAAGAGGGGUGACGACAUGGAACUUGGAAUGGCAAGAAAACUGAUAACGAUUUCUAUAAAAGGAUAGUAUGUUAAAACCUCUAUUUUAAAUGUUUGUGCAUGAGCAUGAUUUAGUGUUAAAUAAAAUAUUCUCAUAAUUGUCUCAUGGUUAGGUGGAUGCUUAUGAAGUUAAAAAUCAAGAAUUGACGUCAGAGAAUGCUUAUUUAAAGACAUUGACCAGUAAAUGCAGGUUUGCAACAAUUUUGUUAUUGUCUGUGUUUUAAGUUUACUAAAUUUUUAUCAAAUAAAUUUUGGAAGGGGUGGUGAGCAUGCAAUAAAACAAGUUUGUAGAAUGCAUCUAUUCCGUCUUAUUAAUUUUGUGAUAUUGAGGUUUUUUGCCAUUUUUUUAUUGAAUUAUUUUUGUGAAUUUUAAUUCUUGAAGUUCAUUGUUUUAUUGGUUUAUUUGAUAGACAAAAAACCCCCUAAAUUUGUAUCAGAUAUGGUUUUAGUAAUUUGUUUUCUUAAGAUUCAUCCCUUACAUUUUGUUUAGUUAAUUAUUCCUUGUUUGGUAUAAUUAAUUUUUUUUUGAAUUAUUUGUUUGUUUUUAUUUUUAUUUUUUUGUUUGAAAGAGCUUUUGUGAUCAAAUUUCUUUAACUUUGUUUGAUCGAUGAUGAAUGAAUGAGAAUAGAGGAAGGCCAUAGUAGUUCGCAAACUAAAUGAGAUGACAUGUUUAACACUAGUACUACUCAUGCAUUGUUGAUACUACAAACUGAAGAACAUUAGGUUUUCUUAUAAUGGACUUGAGAUAUGCGGCAUCUUUUGGAAACAUUACAUUUUUUUCAGUCAGUUAUGCAAGCAUGACUGGUAUUUUUGAAUCUCAUUAGUCUAUUCGUAGACAUUUGACCCUUCUGGAUGUUUAUAAUUGUAGUUUGUGUUUACUCCAUUUAUUCAUUUGAUUUUCAGAAUAUUUGUACAAGUUAUAUUUUAUUUCUUCCUUAUUAAACAUAAUUGAUUUUCUUUAUUGAACUUGGCCUACACAAGCCUGAGAUACUUAAGGGCAUACAUGAUAUGUCACGUUUCUACUUUUAAGGACAUCAAUGAUUAAUCAGCCAUAAUUAGGAAGAGCUUUAGAACUUAAAAUCCAGAACUCAAAUAAACAUAUAUCCUUCUACAAAGUUGUUGAAAAACGUCUUGUUAUUCAUACCUAAAAUUUUCAACUUCAGAUUCCAACGGAUGUACUCUACAGCCCUCUGGAAGUUCACAUUGUUCAGAACCACCUGUAUUCUGACCUUUCUUGCUUUCUACCGCCAAAACGCAACUCUCGUUACUCAAAUUAAAUCAAAAACCCCAACUUAGAAAAUAGACUCAAAAUGAAAACUUUUAAGACUAAUUUCACUCAAAACACUCGAGUGGAUUGUGAGAAACUUAAUACUAAAUUUGGCCUAUUUAUAGAGUUCAUUGCAUGAGUACAAGUUGACACCUCAUCCUUGCUUAAAUUCACCUUAAACCUUCUUAAGGAACCUCCUACUUACUUUACACCUUAAAAUGCAUGCUAACAAGGUUUUACACCUCACUAAAACCUUAAACCGCUUGCCCUUAUCAUGCCACAUAGUUGUCCAAAACGCAUAGUUAACUUCCAAGGUCAUCUCACCUAGUUUCUCGCCCAAACUACAUAACCCAACUUAGAAAAGUUAUAACUUAAAAUCCAUAACUCUUUUGACAAAACUUUCUUCUACAAAGUUUCUCUAAAUGUGGUUUCUUCCCUAAAAAAUUUUUCCUGAAAUUUUGAGGGAAGAAAACGCCAAACGAUGCAUUCUGUAGCGUUCUAUGAGUGUAGCUUGCUCAGAUUCACUCGCAAACUAACCCUCUUGCCUUCUUUUGUCCAAACGUCAACUUUCUCAUAUCCAAAACGUCCAGCAACCUUCUUCAAUAAACUAGACUCAAAUUUUGAAUUUUCAAGUCUAGAUUGAGUGUAAUUUUUCGAGUUGUGAGAAACUCCUUUCUGAAGUUAGCUAAAACACCUAACCUCUUUAAUCCUUCUUUCUUGCCAACCUUAAACACUCAAAACCCUUUCUAACCUCUAAAACCAUUUUGCCAAGUCAACCCAAUACGCCUAAAAAGUACUAUUCUUUGAUAUUGAACCAAAAACUUUCCUUCUUUCAAACCUCUUAAACUCUUUGAAAAAGACUACACUACCCAAGUUUGGGUCCUACAUAAAGAAAGAAGAAGAUAGACUCAAGAUAUAAAAAUAAGGAAGUUAAUCAUCUCGAAAGAAAAGAUAUAAGGAGAAUUUCAUUUUGAUGCCUCUUGAUCUUUAACUGAUCUUCGCUAUUCCUUUCUACCUCUUUCCCCUUUAUGUGGAAAGACCUGGUUGGAUAGCCAUAGGUCCAAGGUUUCUAGUCUUUUUACUAGUUUGGAAAAGCCAAUUAAUUCAGUUUAGUAGAGGUGUAAAACGGAGAUUGCUUGAGUUCGACGAAUGAAAGAGAGCUCGUACCCGCAGCUUUUCCUUGAUUCUGCACUCUUGUGGGUAAUAGGCUUUCCUUCCUUGUCGUAGGUUCCUUUUGUUGGGACUUUUUCCUUCCCUCCUUCUUACUUGUUCAUCAUACCAUAGUAAUAAGAAUUUCUUAGAAAUAAGCUACUUUCUCUCCUUCAACUACUGAUCAAUUAGAACCUCGCGUCUGCACGCACCUUGUUUUUAGGACUUUAGGAAAUGGAAGAAUGUUAGAUCGAAUAAUUUGACUUUAUGUACACUAAGACAAGUGAAUGGGUGUCUAUCUUGUAGCUUUUCUUGAUAUACAUGAAUAUAGGACAACCAUAGAGUAGAUGAGAUUAGGGGAAGAUUCUUGAGACCUCAACCUUUGCCGCGACUAUCAAUAUUCUUUGAACCUCUUUUCUUGCCUUUGUGUCGUUAGUUUGGGAAUCAGGAAGAAGCUAAGCAAGGCAUGAAGAAAUUAUUAACCAUUCUAGAUGUCAUUCAGGUUGGAUGCCAAAUACGAGAAAACCUUUCUGAAGAGUAUGAAUGUGAAAUUCUCAUAAGCAAUGAGAUAGCCACUAGCUUAACCACCAUGAGCCACACCCCGUGGGUCGAUCGUACCCCUUCAAUUCUUUUUCAACCUCAAAAAAUUGAGUGAAGCAUCAAAAUGAAAUUCUUUCACUUCGUUUUCAUCUAUUUUCUAGAGAGCUUUACAAAUAAGGUCUUCAACGCAGAACCUAAUUACAAACUGGUACAAUUGUCUUUCUGUAAGAAGGUAUCAUGUCCAUUUAUCACAAGAGAUCGACUUAGAAGUUCAAAUGCACUUAAAUAAUGAGAAGGAUCAUUAUGGGUAGUGCCAAGAGGCACAAUUCAAUAUGCGUGAGAAGCGCAUUUAAGAAAAAAGGUUUGAUUCAGUAAAAAGUUGGACAGUGUAUAAAAUUUCGUAAAAGAAAUUGUUUUUUAUAUUUAUUAUUAUUAUUAUUAAUAUUUUAAAGAAACUAAAUACACUAUAAGAAAUAAUAUUUAUACAAAACUUCAGAACCACAUAUGCAUAAUGCAUAUUACAACUCAUCUAAACUGCCAAGCAGCACUUAAAAAAUUCAUCAACAAUUGUAGUCAUGAUUCAAGAAUCUAAACACCUUGAACUCGGCUUUUAUAAAAUCAUUGUGGAGUUCUAAGGAAUAUGGCUGGGAUUAUGUGGCUUCUGUUGGAUCUUCUGGGGGAAUUCUUACCAAUGUGGACAACAGUAAAAUAUCUGUAACAGAGGUCAUUAAAAGACGCCUCUCUUUGUCAAAUCAAAUGCCUCACUUUGUGCAAAAAGGUUUGUUGGAUCACAAAUGUCUAUGGCCCUUGUGGUUGCAGAGAAAGGAAAUUGGUUUGGCCCGAAUUGUCUUCCUUGGCUGAUUGUUCGGUCGUGGCCUUGUGCAUAGGUGGGGAUUUUAAUAUCUACUGCGUUCCCGGGAAAGAUUUCCUUUUGGCAGAAGUACUAGAGAAUGUCAUUAUUCAAUAAGUUUAUUGACAUGGUUUCUCUCAUGGAAAUUCCAUUGCAAAAUGGAAGGUUCACUUGGUCUAGAGACGGUAAUUCUCGUUGAAGAUCAUUAUUAGACAGAUUCUUCAUAAAUCAGACGUGGGAUGUUUGUUUUGAAAAUUCUCGGGUUUCUCGAAAAGCACGCAUCUUCUCGGAUCACUUUCCUUUAUUCUUGGAGGCUAGUUCUUUUCUUUGGGGUCCCUCUCCUUUUCGGUUUUGUAACAGCUGGUUGGUGUCCAGUGAUUCUAAUCAGAUUAUUGUUGAAAUAGUGAGCAACUCUAACUUCCAGGGAUGGGCUGGUUUCAUUCUUCAUGAGCAGUUGAGAUCAGUUAAAUUGGCAGUAAAAGCUUGGAAUAUUGCUGCGCAAGCUAAGGUAAAAAAAAAACAGAGAAAUCCUUGAUGUCAAAAUUAGAAAAAUAUGAUUCUGUGGCUGAGUUGAUUGGAUUAAAUCAAGAAGAGUUGAAUUCUAGAGCUGCUUUGCAAGCGGAAUUACUUAGUAUUUAUCAAAACGAAGAGCGUAAUUUUAUUCAGAAGAGUAAACUCAAUUGGCUUUCUUUGGGUGAUGAGAAUACGAGCUUCUUCCACCGGUUUCUAAAUGCGAAAAAAAGAAGGAACCUCAUAACUGAAUUAAAAAAUGAUGAUGGGGUUGUCUCGACUUCAUUCCGCGACAUUGAAAGGCUUGUGCUGGAAUUUUUUGAGUCACUUUAUACCAGAAUUCCGGGGGACAGAUUCAUCCCUAUUAACAGUAAUUGGUCUUGUGUUUCCUCAAUUCAGAAUGAGGCUCUUGUUACCCAAUUUUCAGUGGAGGAGAUCUUUAAGGCAUUAAAGGCACUUGGCAACAAUAAAGCUCCGGGCCCGGAUGGCUUCACAGUGAAGUUCCUAAUCACCCAAUGGUCUAUUUUCAAGGAUAUCUUCAAAUCACUAAUGUAUGAUUUCCACAGAAAUGGAAGAUUAAAUGCUUGCAUCCAAGAAAACUUCAUUUGUUUAGUGCAGAAAAAAGAGAAUGUGACUCUAGUCAAGGAUUUCCGUCCAAUCAGCCUUACUACGUUAGCAUACAAGGUUGUUGCAAAGGUUUUAUCUGAACGUCUAAAACAAGUUAUGGAUGCAAUUAUAAGCCCCACUCAAAGCGCCUUUAUUGAAGGUAGGCAAAUUCUUAACCCAAUAUUAAUUGCUAACGAGGCCGUGGAAGAUUAUAGGGCAAAACGGAAAAAAGGAUGGAUUUUAAAACUUGACUUGGAAAAAGCCUUUGAUAGGGUGAAUUGGAACUUUUUAGAAAAAAUUUAUCUUUGAAAAAGUUUAGUUCCAAAUGGAUAUCAUGGAUAAUGGGCUGCCUAAAAAUCCAAAGUAUUCAGUCUUCAUCAAUGGUAAGCCUAGAGGCCGGAUAACAGCAUCUAGAGGUAUCCGUCAAGGGGACCCUCUCCCCCUUUUUAUUCCUCCUAGUAAGUGAGGUUUUAGGAGAAAUCAUAAACAAGCUUCAUAUUAACAGCCAGUUUGAAGGUUUCCUUGUUGGCAAAGACUUGAUCCACCUCCCUUUGCUUCAAUUUGUCGAUGAUACUCUUCUCUUUUAUUCCAGCUUCCGAUUAUAUAUUUAGGUCUCCUUUGAGAGGCUACCUCGACAAAAGUUUUUUGGCAACCAGUCAUUGAUCGAAUUCACAAGAAACUUGAAAGGUGGAAAAGAUAUAACAUCUCUAGAGCGGAAGACAAACCUUAUGCAACUCAGUUCUGGUUAGCCUUCCUACAUACUACCUACUUUAUUUUCUGUACCUGAAAAUGUGGCUGCCUCUUUGUUAAAGUGAGUUUUCGGAGUGAAGGAAAAGGUCUGCAAUACUCCUUGAAAGACAGGGGAAGCAGAAGAUUGGUGUUCUAUAUUCUGGUUUGCUUAUUAGUAUUUUGUUGUUGGAAUUUUGGAUUAGGAGGUUUUCUUUGUUUGAUGUUUGUGAAUUAUAUGUAACGUGACUCAUUUUCUGAGGUUCACGGUUUGCUUAUGUUGUAAGUUGUGUUUGAAUUGUCAAUAUAAUAGAAACACUACAUCAGUGUUCUAUCGUGAUGUCAUCCUUGGAAUGCAAUGGCUGCACACGUUGGGGUAACUGAAGUGGAUUGGCGGAAACUCACUUUAACUUUCAUACAAAAUGAAAAGAAUGUUGUUAUAAGGGGUGACCCGAGUUUGACAAAGACUAGAGUGAGUCUGUAACACAUGAUGGAGACAUGGACACCAUCUGAUUACGGUUUCUUGACAAAAUGUCGAGCUAUGGAGGGAGGAAUGACAUUUACCGAACUAUAUGGAAUUGAUGAUGUUCCUACAUUUCAAGAGUUACUACAGCAGACAAUUUUGGCUAUCCUAAAAAUCCAGCAACAAAGAAGUGGGAAGUGCUUGUUAGUUGGAAAGGAAUACCACCUCAUGAGGCUACAUGGGAGAAUUGUGAUGAUUUUACACAAAAGCUUCCUCAUUUCCCACCUUGAGAACAAGGUGUCUUUGGAGAGGGAGAGUAAUGAUAGACCACCAAUUGCAAUACAAUAUAGCAGAAGAAAGACAAGUGGAAUUGCACGUGCACAGGUGAUGGAAUUGGAGGAAGUGGAAACCACCUUAGUGGGGACAACAGUUAGUUACAGGGGGAGGUUAAAAGGGAGAGAUGGAAGGAAAGAUGGGGGUUGGUUAAUCAGUUUAUGGAAGUGGAGGGGCUGUAUUUUCUGGAGAGCAGAAUUACAGAAGUUGUUCAGUUACUUUAAUCUUAGAAAGUGUUUUCCAUUAUCGUAAACUACUUUUGAUGUUUGAAUGUUUUAUUUUGUACUUGGUUAUUGUCUGUAAUAGUACUUAUUUGUUCUGUGUUUUCAAGACUGGUUUGAGUAUUGUAUUCUGUAAUAGUUUGGUUGCUUAAUGAACAAAUAAGAACCAUUACUUGGUGUUCUAUCAGCUUCUCAAUCAAGCAUUAACAUCUCAAUAAGGUAUUAUACAUGCAAUCAAACAAUCACAACAUACAUACCAUUUACUCAAAACGACCUAAAACAUGCUCAAAACGUGUCUAAGUUUCACUUGAACUUUCAAAACGACCUAAAACAGCUUACGUGUAGGUUCGUAACUCAUAACCUACGAAAAAAGUUCAAACAUUGUGCAAAAAGCACUACAAGACCCAAAAUUGCAACCAAGUGUGUAAGUGCAACAAACUUAAUUCAAACCAACCUAAAACGUGCUCAAAACGUGUCUAGGUAUUACUUGAGUUUUCAAAACGACCUAGCAAAUCCUAAGUGUAAGUUCGUAACUCAUAAUCUACCAAAAAGGUUGAAAAAAGCAUUUCAAGACCAAAAAUGACAACCAAGUGCAACAAACUUAAUCUAACCUAAAAUGUAUUCAAAAUGUGUGCAAGUAUCACUUGAAUUUUCAAAACGACCAAGCAAUGCUUAAGUGUAAGUUUGUAACUCACAACCUACCAAAAUUUCAAAAAGUAUGAAAAAAGUACUUCAAGACCCAACAUGUCAAUCAAAUGUGUGUAAAACUUAGUUUCAAACCAACCUAAAACGAGUUCAAAACGUGUCUAAGUUUCACUUGAACUUUCAAAACGACCUAACAAAUAUUCAAUACAAGUUCAUAAGUCAUAACCUAGCAAAAAGUUCAAAAUUUUUGAAAAAGACACUCCAAAACCCAAAAUGUCAAGUGUGUAAGUGCAACGAACUUAGUUCUAUACAAACCUAACAAGUAUUGAAAACACGUAUAAGUUUUCAAACACCCUAACAACGCUUAAGUGUAAGUUUAUAACUCAUAACUUACCAAAAAUUUCAAAAAGUGUGAAAAAAAAUCUUUCAAGACUCAAAAUGGCAACCAUGGCUGUAUGUAAAACUAACUUAGUUUGUAACAACCUAAAAGGUGUUCAAAAAAUGUUUAAGUAUCACUCGAACUUUAAAAACGACCUAAUAAUGCUUUAGUGUUACUUCAUAACUCAUAACCUACCAAACAGUUCAAAAAAUGUAGAAAAAGCACUCCAAAAUUCAAAAUGGCAACCAAGUGUGUAAGUGCAACAAACUUAGUCUCAACUUUAAAAUUAGUGCGAGUUGGGAAAUGUAUUAACUCAAGCAUGAUGUACAAACUUGAAACGACUUACAUAUUUAUUCACCAUCACAUAAAAACAGUAAUUAAAUAUAGAUAACAUGUGUAAAUAAAGGGAGAAUCACCUUUCUAGCAGUAGCUUUAGAGUAAGACCAAACACCAUCCUCCUGCUUGUAAAUCUGCUCGAUUGUCUACUUUGUUCUACACUCGUCAUUUCACCGUCUCAGGCCAUCCAUUGAAUUGGCCACCCAGCCUUGGCAUACAAGAGUAUGUCUCAGCCUGUUAACAAAUACCACUAAAACUAAGCAAGACGAAGAAAAAAGUUUUCAAAAAAUUACCUAACUUUUAGGUCUUCAUGUGACCUUUAAGUACUUCUGUCUUCUCCUUCAACUCUUUGACAGAUUGCUGAAAUUAUGUGUUUCUACAAUGUUUACCAGAACAUGAAAGAUUCAUUACGAAAUAAAUUACCAUGAAUACAAACCAUGAAGAAAUAGUAAAAAUCAAUACAAAGAAAAAAGUUCACUUGAAAACGACCUAAAACAGUAUCACUUGAACAAAAUGUGUCUAAGUAUCACUUGAACUUUCAAAACGACCUAAAACAGCUUACGUGUACGUUCGUAACUCAUAACCUACGAAAAAAGUUCCAAUAGUGUGAAAAAAGCACUACAAGACCCAAAUGGCUACCAAUGUGUAAGUGUAACAAACUUAGUUCAAACCAACCUAAAACGUGCUCAAAACGUGUCUAGGUAUUACUUGAGUUUUCAAAACACCCGCAAAUCCUAAAUGUAGGUUCGUAACUCAUAAUCUACCAAAAAGGUUUGAAAAAAGCAUUUCAAGACCAAAAAAUGACAACAAGUGCAACAAACUCAAUCUAACCUAAAAUGUAUUCAAAACGUGUGUACGUAUCACUUCAACUUUGAAAACGACCAAACAAUACUUAAGUGUAAGUUUGUAACUCACAACCUACCAAAAUUUCAAAAAGUGUGAAAAAGGUACUUCAUGACCCAAAACGGCAACGAAGUAUGUAAGUGCAACGGACUUAGUUUCAAGCCAUCCUAAAAAGAGUGCAAAACGUGUCUCAGAUUUCAAAUCGACCAAACAAUACUCAAGCGUAAGUUCGUAACUCACAACCUAAAAAAAUUUCAAAAAUUGAAAAAAAGUACUUCAAGACCCAAACAUUUCAAUCAAAUGUGUAAGCAACAAACUUAGUUUCAAACCAACGCAAAAUGUGUUUAAAACGACCUAACAAUCCUUAAGUGUAAGUUCGUAACUCACAAGCUAACAAAAAGUUCAAAAUGCGUGAAAAAUGCACUUUGAGACCUAAAAUGGAACCAAGUAUGCAAGUGAAACAAACUUAGUCUUAAACAAAUCUAAAAAAAUUUCAAACCGUGUUUAAGUAUCACUUUAACUUUCAGAACGACCUAAGAAUGUUUAUUUGUAAGUUCGUCACUCAUAACAUACCAAAAAGUUUAAGAAGUAUGGAAAAAAGGAAACACUACAGGACCCAAAAUGGCAACCAAGUGCGCAAGUGCAACAAACUUAGUUCCAAACCAACCUAAAAAGUGGUCAAGGCGUGUCUAAGUAUCACUUGGACUUUCAAAACAACCUAACAAAGUUUAAGUGUAAGUUGGUAACCCAUAGCCUACCAAAAAGUUCAACAAGUGUGAAAAGGGCACUUCAAGACCGAAAAUGGCAACCAAUUGGAUAAGGUCAACAAACUUAGUUUCAAACCAACCUAAACCGAGUUAAAAACGUGUAUAAGUUUUACUUGAACUUUCAAAACGACCUAAAACAGCUUACGUGUAGAUUCCUAGCUCAUAACUUACGAAAAAAGUUCAAAUAGUGUGAAAAAAGCACUACAAGACCCAAAAUGGCAAACAAUUGUGUAAGUGCAACAAACUUAGUUCAAACCAACCUAAAACAUGCUCAAAACGUGUCUAGGUAUUACUUGAGUUUUCAAAACGACCUAGCAAAUCCUAAGUGUAAGUUCGUAACUCAUAAUCUACCAAAAAGGUUGAAAAAAAGCAUUUCAAGACCAAAAAUGACAACCAUGUGUGUAAGUGCAACAAACUCAAUCUAACUAAAACGAAUUCAAAACGUGUGUAAGUAUCACUUGAAUUUUCAAAACGACAAGAAUGCUUAAGUGUAAGUUGUAACUCACAACCUACCAAAAUUUCAAAAUGUGUGAAAAAAGUACUUCAAGACCCAAUGUCAAUCAAAUGUGUUUAAAACUUAGUUUCAAACCAACCUAAAACGAGUUCAAAACAUGUCUAAGUAUCACUUGAACUUUCAAAACGACCUAAAAAGCUUACGUGUAGGUUCGUAACUCAUAACCUAGCGAAAAAAGUUCAAAUAUUGUGAAAAAGCACUACAAGACCCAAAAUGGCAACCAAGUGUGUAAGUGCAACAAACUUAGUGCAAACCAACCUAAAACGUGUCCAUGUAUUACUUGAGAUUUCAAAACGCCCAAGCAAAUCCUAAGUGUAAGUUCGUAACUCAUAAUCUACCAAAAAGGUUGAAAAAGCAUUUCGAGACCAAAAAUGACAACCAAGUGUGUAAGUGCAACAAACUCAAUCUAACCUAAAAUGAAUUCAAAACGUGUGUAAGUAUCACUUGAAUUUUCAAACGACCAAGCAAUGCUUAAGUGUAAGUUUGAACUCACAACCUACCAAAAUUUCAAAAAGUGUGAAAAAAGUACUUCAAGACCCAACAUGUCAAUCAAAUGUGUUUAAAACUUAGUUUCAAACCAACCUAAAACGAGUUCAAAACGUGUCUAAGUAUCACUUGAACUUUCAAACGACCUAAAAAAGCUUACGUGUAGGUUCGUAACUCAUAACCUACGAAAAAGUUCAAAUAUUGUAAGAAAAGCACUACAAGACCAAAAUGGCAACCAAGUGUGUAAGUGCAACAAACUUAAUGCAAACCAACCUAAACGUGCUCAAAACGUGUCCAUGUAUUACUGAGAUUUCAAAACGCCCAAGCAAAUCCUAAGUGUAAGUUUGUAACUCAUAAUCUACCAAAAGGUUGAAAAAGCAUUUCGAGACCAAAAAUGACAACCAAGUGUGUAAGUGCAAUAAACUCAAUCUAACCUAAAAUGAAUUCAAAACUGUGUAAGUAUCACUUGAAUUUUCAAACGACAAGCAAUGCUUAAGUGUAAGUUUGUAACUCACAACCUACCAAAAUUUCAAAAAUGUGAAAAAGUACUUCAAGACCCAACAUGUCAAUCAAAUGUGUUUAAAACUUAGUUUCAAACCAACCUAAAACAAGUUCAAAACGUGUCUAAGUAUCACUUGAACUUUCAAAACGACCUAAAAAAGCUUACGUGUAGGUUCGUAACUCAUAACCUACGAAAAAAGUUCCAAUAGUGUGAAAAAGCACUACAAGACCCAAAAUGGCUACCAAGUGUGUAAGUGUAACAAACUUAGUUCAAACCAACCUAAAACGUGCUCAAAACGUGUCCAUGUAUUACUUGAGAUUUCAAAACGACCAAGCAAAUCUAAGUGUAAGUUCGUAACUCAUAAUCUACCAAAAAGGUUGAAAAAAGCAUUUCAAGACCAAAAAUGACAACCAAGUGCAACAAACUCAAUCUAACCUAAAAGUAUUCAAAACGUGUGUAAGUAUCACUUGAAUUUUCAAAACAACCAAGUAAUGCUUAAGUGUAAGUUUGUAACUCACAACCUACCAAAAUUUCAAAAGUGUGAAAAAGGUUCAAGACCCAAAACGGCAACGAAGUAUGUAAGUGCAAUGAACUUAGUUUCAAGUUAUCUUAAAAAGAGUUCAAAAUGUGUAUAAGCUUUCAAAUGGACCAAACAAUACUCGAGCGUAAGUUCGUAACUCACAACCUACCAAAAUUUCAAAAAGUGUGGAAAAAAGCACUUGGAGGCUCAAUGUGUCAAUCAAAUGUCUAAACAAACUUAGUUCCAAACAAACACAAAAUGUUGUUUUAAAUUAACUAACAAUGCUUAAGUGUAAGUUCGUAACUCACAAACUAACAAAAAGUUCAAAAUGAGUGAAAAUGCACUUUGAGACCUAAACUGACAACCAAUUAUGCAAGUGAAACAAACUUAGUCUUAAACAAACCUAAAAAAAUGUGUUUAAAACUACUCUAAAGCACACACAAACACUCUCCAUCUCACUCUCUAUCUGCCUUGUUUCCAAUUUAAUUCGGUAUUCAUUUGGGGUUAUUGUAGGUUCAUAUUUAGAAAUAGUCAUUCAUGUGGUGAUGCAAAAUCCCUUUUAUGUAUCUAAUACUAAAAUCACAAAAAUCAUCUUGGACAUGCAACACAACAAACUAAAUUUCCACGGAAGCCUUUGCUGACACAAUGGUAGACAAAAUUACUCAAACAAGAGAGAAGGACUAUAAUUAAUUAACAGAAGUACAAAUCAAUAUAGGUGCACAACCUAUAUAUGAAAAUUAUUUUACAUAUUAUAUUAAACAUUGAAAAUUCUUUUACGUAUUUUUUUUUUUUUACGUAUUCCUAUUGAAGAAUCUCAUUUGAGCAUUUUGUGGUCAAUUUGACUUGACAGAAACAACAGAACUUUCAAUUAGAAGGAAGCAAGAUGCGCAGUUUUUUUGAACUGCUGUUUUUUUUUUUUGCUUCAACUUGCUAUAAAUUAGAGAUGUUUUCCACAACUACUUCGGCUUGGAGCCCUCUCGCUACUCCUUAUGUAAUUUUAAGAAAUAGAUAAAAUCCAAGUUAAACUAGAUAAGUGGAAAAGAUAUCUUUUUUUUCUCUCUCCCUCUUUACCGGCUGCCAUGCUGGGUGAAGAACUCUAAGCACCUACUAGGCAAGAAUGGGUUUUGCUUAGGCAAGAAAAGCGGAGAGGAUCCCCACGAAAACUCUGAAACCGGGGGAUCUCGGCGCGCAUUUUACUUGACCUACGCGGCUGGCUUGGCUCCCUCUUUUUUUCUCUCUCCCUCUCUACGGCUGCCAUGCUGGGUGAAGAACUCUAAGCAUCUACUAGGCAGGAUCAGGUUUUGCUUAGGCAAGAAAAGCGGAGAGGAUCCCCACGAAAACUCUGAAACCGGGGGAUCUUGGCGCGUAUUUUACUUGACCUAAGCGGCUGGCUUGGCUCCCUCUUUUUUUCUCUCUCCCUCUCUAAAGACUACCACGCUGGGUGAAGAACUCUAAGCACCUACUAGGCGGGAUCGGGAUUUGCUUAGGCAAGAAAAGCGGAGAGGAUCCCUACGAAAACUCUGAAACCUGGGGAUCUCGCGCGCAUUUUACAUGACCUAAGCGGCUGGCUUGGCUCACUCUUUUUUUGCUCUCUACCUCUCUACAAGCUGCCAUGCUGGGUGAAGAACUCUAAGGACCUACUAGGCGGGGUCAGGUUUUGCUUAGGCAAGAAAAGCGGAGAGGAUCCCCACGAAAACUCUGAAACCGGGGGAUCUCGGCGCGCAUUUUACUUGACCUAAGCGGCUGGCUUGGGUCCCUCUUUUUUUUCUCUCUCCCUCUCUAUCGGCUGCCAUGCUGGGGAACUCUAGUGACCCACUAGGCGGGGGUCGGGUUUUGCAACCCUCAGCAGCUUGGUCGUAUUCUUUUGUUUUUAUCGGCUGUUAUGUUGGGUGAAGAACUCUAAGAACUUGCCAACUUUGCUUAAUCAUAUUUUGCUUUCAAACAAUCUUAUACAAAUGUGUAUGACCAAAAGAGGGAUUUGAAAUUAAUAUAAAAAAUGCAUUAGAAUAUGGCAAAAAAGGGGAUUAAAAUUGAGAUAAAAAAGACAACCGCACAUAUUAUUAUGUACAUAAUUCACAAUAUUCAGAAAAUGAACCAAGUGUUCUACUCAUUUCUAAGCUAUCAAUAUAUGCAUUUUCAACAUAUGUAACAUAUUCAAAUAAAAAAUACAAUCACAAAUCCGAGCUCCGUUCUCAUGCGUUAGGCAUACAUGCUUUUUUAUGCUAAAAAGCGAACUAGACAUGGUACUUAUUCUAAGCAUAGAGCAUUGCAAAAGUUUCUAAAUUUUGACAUUUUUAGCAAAAUUUGCAAAAUGAAAAUUUCCCAAAGGACAUGGAAUGUGCAAGGCUACAACCCACCCCCCACUUAAAAAUUUGCAUUGUCCUCAAAGCAUUUUAAGCAAGAUUCUACGGAUGGAAAAAAAAAAGAAAAAAGGAGAACAGAAGACCUCCCCUUGUAACCUAGUUUCUUCAUGGAAGCUUGCUUGCAAAGAUCCCAAGUUUGGUUAUAUUUCAUUUUCCUUUAUUCUACAAAAAGAAACAAGAAUUUGCAUCCGAUUUUAUUUAAAAGGUUAAACUAAAAAUUUUAGAAAAAUGUGCAGAAUUGUUUAAAGCUCGGUUGCAUUUUCUAAGCAUCACUUGAAUUAUUAAAACGACCUAACAAAUAUUCAAUACAAGUUUGUAAUUCAUAACCUACCAAACCUUUUGUAAAUUACAUACAUCAAUAAAAUUACUUCUUAUAGGGGGGGGAAGAAACUAUGUUUUAGGGACAGAUGGCUCUAAAGCACACAAACACUCUCCAUCUCACUCUCUAUCUACCCUGUAUCUAAUUUAAUCCAGCAUUCAUUUGGGGCAUUGUAGGUUCAUAUUAAAAAAUAGUCAUUCAUGUUGUGAUGCAAAGGCCCUUUUUAUGUAUCUAGAACUAAAAUCACGAAAAUCAUCGUGGACAUGCAGCACAACAAACUGAAUAUCCAUGGGAAGCCUUUGCUAACAAAAUGGUUGACAAUAAUUACUCAGACAAGAGAGAAUGACUAUAAUUAAUUAACAGAAGUACAAAUCAAUAUAGGUGCACAACCACCAAGCCCCCAACAAAAGGAACAAUAAACUUCAAUAACAAAAGAAAGGUAGUAUCAGGACUAUCCUUACCUUGUUAUCGAAGAAGAUACCUUGGCUCUGGAAAGCCCGAUGCUCUGCCUUACAACAUUCAAUUACCCCAGUACUGUAGUGUUUCUUCAAAGUUUGGGAAUCUACCUAAAACAUAAAAAUAUAUAUUACAACUUGAAAACCUCCAUGUCAGAAACUUUACUUUAAUUAUCAAACCAGAUGCUAUGCAAGAAUUAGUUAGCAGAAACACAACAUAAAUAGUAAUGAUAUUCUUUGGGGAGGGGAUAAAAGCAUCUUUCAUCAUAGAAAUAAGCUUAGCAGUUAGCAACCUUUAUAUAAGAAGUUAACACCGGUUUGAUUACUUCUUAAAGUUCAGCUACGAAAUCUGGUAAAGAGAAAGACCUAAUCCAUAAUGUUAAAGACGAAAAGACCAAGUCAGAUUCCUUUAUUCAAACAGGUUAGUAUCACAGCUCCAAAGGAAAAAACUUACGGACCUCUACGACGAAUUUCCUUGAAUGAUGUAGCGGCACCUUGUUCUUGAAACACAGUUUCAUUUAUGUUGUGAAAAAUAAGAUCGAUAAAUAAAACUUUCGGCUACAAUUAGCCACAUAAACAUAAAGUUGUGACAUGAAAACAAAAGCUAACAGAUAAUUAACUAUACAGUUUGUAGGGAAAAUACCAAAUAGCCCAUAAUCAAGAUCACAACUGAAGCAAACAAUAAUGUGUAGUUUAUCAUUUCCAACCAAAUAGUUCAAUAACAAAUAAGGUCAAAUGGCCAAAUAAUAUGUCCUUUCACAUAAAUAUUUACUCCUGAAUUUUUUGAAGGAUAAUGUUAUCGCUUCUCUCCGACGUUUCACAAAAAUUCUUUUACAUAUUAUAUUUUUGUUACAUAUUCCUAUUGAAGAAUCUCAUUUGAGCAUUUUGUGGUCAAUUUGACUUGAAAGAAACGGCAGAACUUUCAAUAAAAAAGAAGCAAGAUGCCCAGUUUUUUUGAACUGCUGUUUUUCUCUCUUUUUUUUUUUCUUUAACUUGCUGUAAAUUGGAGAUGUUUUCCAUAACUACUUUGGCUUAUGUAAUUUAUCUUCUCCCUAGAUGCAACCAUAAAUCAAACAAACUAGAUGAAUAAAUUUACACCACAGAAAUCCAUCCUAUGAAGACUUGAGCGGAGAAAGAUGGGAUAAGGACAAAGCAUAGGAAAAGCAAAUACCCGAUGGGAAGUAAACUGAUAAAAAAUACUUUGUGUUGAGAGUAAUAUAUCCCGAACCAAUUUUCUGCCAGCCAUUAAGAUUUACCCACUGCAACUCUGACACAAAUAUUUUCUUAUAAACAAUAAUUAACACAAUCUAAUUGGUAUCUUAUGGAUAUAAAAGACAGCAUGGAUCCAUAUUGGAAGGAUUUCAAAUUAGUCUACGAACAAAGAAUUUUGAAGGAUUUGUGAUCAACUAAGGAGCUCUCGACUUUCUCCGCUGGAAUUUCAAAUUAGGCAGGCAUGAUUGUCACUCGAUCGACAGUUGAGAAAUCUGGCGCUGUUAGGGCGAUUUUGAGGAAGACGAAGAAGAUAAGAGAAUGGGAGAGGACGAGAAAGUAGAGAGAGAGAGAGAGUCGUUAGAGAAGAAGUAGGGGAAGAAAUUUGAAACGUGAGUGAGAGAGAAGGGGAGAUGAGGGAUUAAAAUAUAUUUGAAUUAUUUGUGAUAAAACCCAUUUAAAACCCAAAAAAAUUUCUUUAUAACUAAAACAAAUAUUUUGUUUUUAAAAUUUAGACUAAAAAAAUCAAAUUUUACGAGAUAAAAUUUUCAGUAACGAUAAAGCAAAAAAUAUAUAUUUUGUUUUUCAAAUAAUUAUAAUCCAAAAUUUUCAAGAAAUGUGAAAUUUCAUUUAAUAAGAUAAAAACAUUAGUUUCCAAUUUUGGCAAUGGAUGAAAGUAUUAGAAAUUGAAAAUAAUUGUUAGACAUGCAUGUUAGCCGUCACCACAAACCAAUCCAAUUUUUCAUUCAAAAAUGUUGAAUUUAUAAUUAAUGGUUCUCGAAACAUUCAUACAAUUUUUUUUUUAACUUAACUUACUUAGUUUGAGUUUUCUUACGAUGUUCAUGUCGAUAUUAUACGAAAAAUUGUCUUAAAUGAUAAAAUUGCUGAAGAUAUUCACAAAUAUAACAAAGUUUUACCGUCUGUUAGUUACUGAUAGAACAUGUACUAGUGGUCUAUCAAUUAUCCUCUAUGGUUUUAGUUUAGUGGUUAUUUAUCAAGCUCUUAAUAAAUUAAAUAGUGAUUUAACAAAUAUAAUGUAAAAGAAUAUUCCAAGAAUAACCUUGGAGUAUCACUUGAAUUUUCAAAACGACCUAACAAUGCUAAACUAUAAGCUCAUAACUCAUAACCUAUCAAAAAAAGUACAGAUAAAACAAAAAAACUAUUUAAAUCUUAAAAAAUGAAAAGAGAAGAAAUAAAUUUUAAAGUAUAUGUAAAUUUUAGAUAUUAAGUAAAAAAGAGAAUAUGUAAGUUGAAUUUUAAUCGGUAAGAAUAUGGAUGUUUAGAAACAAAUUUUUAAUUUUUUAAAAGUUGAUUUAUAAUCAUUUGAUUUCUUUAAAUUCAACAACAUAAACAUAAAAUGAUUUGAUUUUGAAUUUAUCACACCUUACAAAUAUUUUUCAAAUUUCAAAUCAAGAGAUACUAAGUUUGUUGACUUACCCACUUGAUUGCCAUUUUGGGACUUGUUUAAGACUAAGUUUGUUUCACUUGCAUACUUGGUUGUCAUUUUAGGUCUCAAAGUGCAUUUUUCACGCAUUUUGAACUUUUUUUUUAAUGGGCUUUAUAAAAAAUAAUUCAAAUGGAAUUGGCAGAUGGCUGAGGGCCUUCGUGAAACGUGGGAGAGAAGCGAUAAGAAUAUGUAUGUCUUAAUGGUCAUAGAAAUUUAUUAUGCUUGGUUUUUGCUUGAAAAGUUUUCUAUUAUUUACUUUAUUGAACACACACGAGCACCCGUACAUCUGGAUUUGUAAGAAUAUGUAUCGUUAUAAGGUUUCCAUCCAUCUUUCUUAUGCCAUCGAUGAAGUUUUCGCUUAGAUCUUUAUCUUAGUUCGGCCUCUUUAAAAUAUAUGUUACUCCAUACAAGGAAGAUCGAAAGUUGUGAUUACCAAGUGUAGAUUUGUAUUGUAUAGUUGCCUUAGUUAUUUUUUUAAUUAUUCUUUUUAGACGUUAUUUUCUUUUAUAAUUAGUUCUCUUUAGUUAGAAUUUCUAUUAAAUUAUACUUACCUAUUAUCAAAUCCUUUUUCCGUAAUAAGAGAAAAUGGAGUUUUUCUCAAAUAACAAAAAGUGAUUAUUUAAGAUAGUAUGCUAAAGGGAACACAUCCAACUACCAUGUUCAGAAUAUUACCUUUGCCGAUUGAAAGUCUUGGAUUCUUGGUCAACUUUGAACGCAAAUUUUUCUUAGUUGAUUAAUAAAUAUCAGGGUAAAAAGAUCUUAUAUUGUAAUAUUGUUUUGCUUCACUUGCAUCAUACACUAUUUUUUUACACUUAUAAUAAAAAGCCCAUAGAAAGUAGAGAACUUGUGUAGAGAACUCUUCACUCUUGCCUGAAGCUACAAUAGCCCGUAGAAAGUAGGAGAGUUAAGCUUGUUAGGUUAGAAUGCGUUGGGUUCACUUGGGAUCAAAACUUGCAUCAGAACUUUUCACUCACGGUCGAAGCCACAAUAGCUAGUAGAAAGUAGGAGAGUUAAGCCUAUUAAGUCAUAAUGCAUCGGGUUCCUUCAGGAUCAAACUUUGGUAGGAAACUCUUCACUCUCGACCGAAGCCACAAUAACACGUAAAAAGUAGGAAAGAUAAGGUGGUUAGGUCGGAAUGCAUCGGUUCCUUCCAUAUUAGUAUUUGCGUAGGGAACUCUUCACUCUUGGCGAAAACAACAAUUUUCUGUAGAAAGUAGGUGAGUUGAAGCGAUUAGAUCAGAAUGCGAUGGGUUCCUUCGGGAUCAAUACUUGCGUAGGGAACUUUUAACUCUUGGCGGAAGCAAAAAUAGCCCGUAAAAGUCGAAGAGUUAAGCCAAUUAGGUUAGAAUGCGUCGAGUUCCUUCGGGAUUAAAAUUUUCGUAGGGAACUCUUCACUCUUGGCCGAAGCAGAAAAGUUAAGCCAGUUGGGUCAAAUGCGCUUGGUUCUUUAAUAUAUUACAUGUUUGUACCUUUUCAAUUCAAUACUAGAUAUUUUUCACUUGUCAAUGUGUUAUUAGUAGUUUAAUUUAGCGAUAAGUUAUUGAUAAGAAGUUUAGUUUAUAAUUCUCGUCGCAUUAGUUAGGCUAUGCUCAUCGCUUAGCCAACGUCAAUCGCCAACUACUCGAGAGGGCAAGUAGCAAGGAUAAGGCUAAUACGUGCAAGGGGGAGUUUCGCGACAAACUCCACCUUAGUGAGAUAACUUCCAUCAUUUGUAUACCAAGAGAUGAACAAGUGUGGACAUUAGGCACCGAGAGGUUGUUGUCCUUAAUUGCGAAGCUCUAUACGUUUUAUAAGUGAAAUCUUCUAGAUAUAUCUCUCCUAAGCACACUUAAUCAUAUGGAUUCUGAGAGGUGACCAUAUGUGACGUUUAAUGACUCUGAGAGGAGCACUUCUUAAUUAUAAGUUAGUUGAGCGAGAUAUAUCCUAUUAAAGUUGUCGUGUUACUUAAUCGCAUUAUAACGCAAAGACAUUCCUUUGCUCUUUCUUGCAUACAAGUUAGUUCCCAUUUCUAUUUUGUCAUCCAUAUUCCCUUUUAUAGAAUCUCUAAGCGUAGAUAUCUAGUGGUAGUUUGUUCUUGUAUUUCUUUUAUACCAUUCGUUAUUCUUUAAUUCUUUUAUACUGCCUAGAUGAUAAGUAAUACCUAAAAUUAAUAUCUUGAAUCAAUUCCUUAUGUUCGACCCGGGAUCACCCCGGUAAACCUACCAUUUCACUUGCACUUGGACAAGUAGUAAGAAAACUUGUACUCAAGAGGACUUAGUUGCCACACGAUAUGAAGGUCUAGUGAGCAAUUCACAUGCAGUUAACAUGCUUAGUGAUAUAUCGCCUAGAUUGAGUAUAAUUUUCAUUACCAUUUACUAACACUAAGUCCUGAUUGUUGAGAAAGAACAACACCUCAAUAACCGGAGCGAUCGACUUCUAUCUUUAGUUAUUCGAUCUUGAACCUUAAUUGCACGAGAGAUGGCCUGGGAUGAAACAAAUUUACCUUUAUUUUAUUCAGUCUCGAGCAUACAUUGUCCUAAGAUGCUACAUUAUGAAAGACUUCUGCCUUUAGUUAUUCGAUCUCAGGCCUUAAUUGCACUUGAAAUGGCUCGGGAUGAAAGAAUUCUGUCUUUAUUUUAUUUAAUCUUGGGCAUACAUUACAUUGAGAUGCUCCGAAAUGAAAUUUUUUUGCCUUUAGUUAUUCGAUCUCGACCUUAAUUGCAUCGAGAUGACCCGUUAUUAAUAAAUCACAAAGAAGAUAUAAAUCGCAAGAACGUCUAUGGAAUUUGUGAAAAAAUAAUCUCGCAUCAUGGACUUUUCUUAUUUUGUUAUACGAACCAUAAAUAUUUUGGAUUUUUCUACAUUUAUGUAAAUUACUCUUAAAUUAAUCUAAUUAAUAUUUAAUUGGAAAUCACUGCCACUUGGAUAUAGGAAUACGGAGCAUCCCACAUUCUCUAAAUAACACCCACAUAUGGAAGUUAUUAUCUUAAUUUAAAUUAAUGAUCACAAAUAGCAAAAAAGUUAAAACUAUUUACAAAAUAUAGCUAAAAAUUGAAACUAUUUACAAAAAACUCAAAUGUGCUAUAGAGAAUUUAAUUAUUAUGCUAAUUAGUUUCAAUUUAAUUAGUAUAUUUGAAAAUUCCACUUAAAUUUGAUUAACACUAAAAUAAUUAGUUAAUAUAUAAUAAUUAUUUAAAUCACAUUUAAUUAAUAUUUCAUUUAAAUCACUUUUAAAUGAAUAUCUCUCACAUAACCAAUAGUUUUAAUUUAAUUAAAUAGAAUUAAACUAAAUUAUUAAUUAAUUCUUCAAUUAUUUAAUUUCUAAAUUAAAUAUUUUAUAUUUGAUUUAAUAUAGAUUUGAAUCAUACUCAUAUAUGAAUUUCUCUCAUAACCUAUUGUUUGAAUUUGUAUCAUAUACGUAUUAAAUUUUAAUCUAUAGUUUUAUUAAAUUUAAUUCAUAUUAAAUUAAUAUUUGAACUCAUUCAAAUAUUUAUUAUUUCAUAAAUUAAUUUUAAAUCAUAUACAAAAUUAAAUUUAUAUAAUAAAGUUCAAUUAAAAGAUAAAUUUUAUAUUAUAAUAUAUCACCAUACAUUAUACUAAUUUUCAAAGUAAAUAUGAACAUUUCAAAUUACAGUCAAUAUGUAAUAACCUUAAUACCCUUUACAUACUAGGAAGGGACCUAAUAAAUUUACAUUUCAAAGUGAAAUCAAUUUAUUUACUUUAGUUGUCGUAUUAUCCUUAAGAGCACCUCAUGCCUCCACAUCAAUAAUCAUUUAUCUCAUUGCAACAAUCACCCAUAUAAAUAUUGAAUCAACAUAUGGUUCUGUACCUAAUGAUGAAAAACUUGGCACUGAGCCAAGUAUCUCCCCAAUAAUCGUAAAGUGAUUCAUCCUUUCCUUGUGUGAUGCCAUAGAUUUUCUUCCUCACACUAGUAGCAUAAAAGGUUGAAAGAACUUUUCCAAAUAUUGUCUCUACAUCUACUCCCAUGAAAUAAUGCUCCUGGUGACAAGUAAUAGAGCUAAUCUUUCACUUCUUCGUGUUACGAGAAGGGAAAAGCUCUCAUGUUCGUCUGCUCAAGGGUUAUAAUGUGAGGACUCAUUCCAUUGCAAACAAUAUGGGGCUCGGCUAUCGGAAUAAUAUGGGCUCAACUAACGAGAUAUAACGACUGAACCCUAAGUGGAAGUCCAUAAGUUCACUUUAGCAGUUAGCUAAAUGAAAAUCUACUUAUAAUAUGGAGCAAGCACUAGAAGAAAUUGCUCUUUAUUGUCAGUUUAGAACCGACAUUAAUGGCCUUUGGUGUCAGUUCGGAAUUGACAUCUAUGCUAGCGUUAUUAAAGGCCUUUAAUGUCAUUUUUGCUUUGAUGUCAGUUUAAAAUGACAUCAAUGCAUCAUUGAUGGCCACUGAUGUCGGUUUUAAAUCAACAUUUUUUAUGGCGUAAUUGUUGACCUUUACUGUUGGUUUUCCUUUAAUGUCGUUUUUAAACCGACAUCAAACCCUUUAUUUUUUUAAUUUAUUUAUUUUAAUUAUUUUUCAUGGUGUCGAAAUCGACAUUAUUUGUUACGAAUUACGACAUGAAAUGUCGUCAUCGAAUAUUAAAAAAGUAUAAAAAAUAAUUGUUGCAUGAUUGCUAACUGUCUACCACUCCAUGGCAAACCUUAUAUAUUACUUCCAUAUUUCACCUGCAAGGCAGAAGAUCAACACCUACAAAACAAGCAUACACUUCCACACAUCCAAUGGCAAACUAAUACUAUUUCUAGCUAUAUAGAAUUCAAACCUACAAAACCAGCACAUACACUUCCACACUUCGAUGCAAACUAAUAUUUCUAGCUACAGAAUUCAACACCUAAAAACCCAACAUAUAUACAUUUUUCCACACUUCCAUAGCAAACCAAUAUUUCCAUUUCACCUACAAGGAAGAAGAUCAACACCUACAAAACAAGCAUACAUUUCCACACAUCCAAUGGCAAACUAAUACUAUUUCUAGCUAUAGAAUUCAACAUGUAAGAAAACCUACAAAACCAACACAUACAUUUCCACACUUCCAUGGCAAACCAAUAUUUCCAUUUCACCUACAAGAAGAUCAACCCCUAAAAAACCAGCAUACACUUCCACACAUCCAAUGGCAAACUAAUACUAUUUUAGCUAUAGAAUUCAACAUGGUAAGAGGCCACAAAACCAGCACAUACACUUCCACACUUCCAUGGAAAACUACAAAAAUACACUUUUCCACACUUUCAUAAUACUACAGAAAUACACAUAUCAAUCAGUAAAUAAUAUGUAAAGUAUUAAAGUAUGUGUACAACAAAUUCCUCCACUAAUACACACUUUCCACAUAGUACUACAACAAAUACACUCUAAAGUCAACACCUAAAACACUACAAUACAACACCUAUUCAUAAACUACUACAAGCAGAAAACCUGAAAAUUAAAGUAUUACAACAAGUAGUACUAGAAUCUCGUAGCUUAUAUAUUAAAACAAUUAGUAUUAGUACUAGUAACUUAUAAACUACAAAAAAAAGUGUAAAAGCUUACACAAAUCGGCUAACAAAGCUUGCAUAUUUUGUUCAAAUCUCGUCAAUCUCCUCUUGCGUAUAUGCACUUUUUUGUAUUAAACUACGCAAAAAGAAAGGUAUGGAAAGAAUAAGUUUAGAUAAUUUAUGUAAUUUGUAACAUAUAAAAAGUGAAAGUAGAAACUUACAAGGCUAGUGAUGGAGUACUAGAAUUAUGCACGAUUUCAUGUAUAUACUUUUGACAUAAUACCCACACCCAACCGAAUCCAAUUGACGAGGACACUGCAUGUAUAUAAAUUACAUACAAAUUAUUCUUAUGUUUCAUUGAAAAUAAUUAUGUGUCAAUGCAAAUUACCUUUAUAGGUUUCCAUUUCGGAUUUGACCGAUAAUGUUGUAAAUCAUGCUUAGCUUGCCAUGUUUUUAAUCCUCUAUACAUUUGGAAACAUUAGAAUUAGAAGACAAUGAAGUCAAAUAAGAAGUAAAUCAUAAGUCACAUUUAUGACUCCAUGGAUGUCUUCGUUAACUUUACUUUGAAGAGAGUCCAAAACAUAAACACAGUUCUCUCGAAGAUCGAUGACAUGCAACAUCCAAUGAAAACUACAAUAAACAUCUUCAAUGUGAGUAUACAUUUAACCAUUGCUAUCAUCAAGUAUGGUUGCUAUUGCAACAAUAUUAUUAAUCGUUCCUAUAGCCAAUUUGCACGGUGUUUACUUUACAAGUAUUAAAAGCAUCAUUAAGAACAAUUUAUCCUAUAAACAUUAAAAUUUUAAAAGUGACAACAAAGUUAAUUACCUUCACUUCUUCGUUCAUAGGUGUGUUGCCCAAAUCCUCAUGCAUAGAGAUCUAUGACACUUCUGAUGGACGAUCUCAAGUGAUUAUGACUCUUCUUGUAACUUUUGCUUUUUGAUUCAUCUUCUACAACUUGAGAACUUGCAAUUUUCUCUUUCCCUUUCACUGUCUUGAAAUAUAGUGAUUGAGAGACAAAACCAUCCAUGCCACGUACACGUCCACCAUGCUCCUUAGAGCCCAAUGACUCAGUUAAUAUGUCCUCAUCUCUAUGUGUUUCAACUAAUGCAUCCCAUAGAACAAUACAAGUAUUCAUCAUUAACUAAGUUAACAAAAGAUUAAAUAUUGUAUAUAAGUAAAUCGCAAGCAAACUUACGAUUCGAGAGACACAAUCUCGAGUAGCAUCAUCAAAAUAAUCAUUGUUUUUUCCUUUUCUUGCACACGCACACGCACACACCCACACACACACGUGCACACACACGAACACACGCAUGAACGCAUGCACACAUCCACAGACACAUGCACGCAAACACGCACGUCCACCAUACGGGCACAUGCGCACACACACGCACACCACCACACGGGCACAUGCACGCACGCACAAAUGCGCAUGCACACGCGCGCGCGUACAUGCACAUGCACACACACGAACACAUACGCACGCACACACAUGUGCACACACACACUCGCACACGCACACCCACCCACAGGCACUUGCACGCACCACACACAUGCACGCACGCGCACCCACAUGGGCACAUGUGCACUCAUACACACACAAGCACAUGUACACCCACCCACAUUGGCACACGUGCACUCGCACACGCACAUGCAUACACCCACACACACGCACGUCCAUGCGCAUGCACGCACACGAACACACGCAUGAACGCACACACACAUCAAGACACGCACGCGUACACACACACAUACAUGUACGAACAUACGCACACCCACCCACACAAACAUAUGCGCAUUGCACACAUGCACACACACACACCCACACACAUGCACGCACGCGCACAUGCACACUCAUCCACACGGACACAUACGCACUAACACACACGAGCACACACACACCCACACAGACACACGCGCACUUUCACACGCACACACAAGCACACGCAUACGUACACACCUACAUACAUGCGCAUGCACACACACGAACACACGCAUGAACGCACGCACACAUCCACACACACACACGCACGUACACACGCGCACACACAAUCACCCACACGGGCACAUGUGCACUUGCACACACCCACCGACACACAUGCACGCACGCGCACAUGCACAUCCACACACACGGACACAUGUGCAGUCACACACACGCACGCACACACCCAUAUGGGCACGCCAAUCUCACACACACACAGCACACGCACACACACAAGCACAUGCACAUGCACACACACGAACACACACAUGAACGCACGCACACAUUCACACAUGCACACACACAUCUACACACACAUGCACACAUGCACACACACACACACGCACACGCACAUCAACCCACACGGGCAAACGCGCACUCGCACAUAUGCACACACACACGCACACACGUACAUAUGCACAAAGAUGUGAAAAUGAAUUAAAUUUAAAAAACAAUUACAUUAAUUGUGUUUAGAAUAACUUUUAAACUAUAUUCAUUUAACUUAAUAACAUUAAUUAAAUUAUAAUUUUUAUUAAUAUUGAUUUAAGAGUGUCAUUAGUGUAAUUAUAUCAAUAUAAUGCGUCUUAUCCAAUUUUACCAACAAAAAACAAGUCAAAUAUGAACUAGUAAAUCCACACUCUUUGUCAUAAGAGAUAUAAUAACGUUUUUAUGGGUCAUUUUAAAAAAUGACAAAACAACUUUUUCUUUUGAAUUUUAGCAAAUAGCAUUUUUUAUCUGAAAAAGAUACAUCAACCCAUAAUAACGUUUUUAGAUCCGUCCCAAAACGAUCAAAAUGGGGGCCACCAAUGUCGUGGCCUCAAAAGAAAUUACCUAGCCCAGAAAAGUGUCGGAGGUCUCGAAAGUUCAAAUCCAGCUACUAGGUGGUCUCAUCUCGAGAAGGUUCAGAGUUUUUUUGCCCGCAAAAGCCGAACGGUGAUGCCCAAGGCUCUGCUUUUUAGUUCUGUCCCAAAACGACGAAAAUGGGGCCACCAAUGCCAUGACCCUAAAGAAAACUACCCAAACCAAAACAUGGUCGGAGAUCUCAAAAGCUCACAUCCACCUACUGGGUCGUCUCGUCUCGAGUAGUGUUAGAGUUUUUUUUUUUUUUUGCACACAAAAGUCGAACGACGAUUCUCCUUGUUUCGCUUCUUAGUUUCGUCCCAAAAUGCCGAAAAGGGGGUCAUUAAUGUCGUGGCCCUAAAGAAAACUACCCAACCCAGAACAAUGUCAGAGGUCUCAAAAGUUCACAUCCAACCACUGAUGGUCUAGUCUCGAGUAGUGUUAGAGUUUUUUUCCCGCAAAAGCCGAACGGUGAUGCCCACGGUUCGCUUUUUAGUUUCGUCCUAAAACGCCGUAAAGGGGUCACCAAUGCGUAGCCCCCAAAGAAACUACCCAGCCCAGAACAGUGUUGGAGGUCUCGAAAGUUCACCUCCAGAUACUAGGUGGUCUGUUUAGAGUUUUUUUUUGCCGCAAAAGUUGAACGGUGAUUUCCUUGGUUUCGCUUCUUAGUUUCGUCCCAAAACGCCGAAAAGGGGGCCACCAAUGUCGUGUCCCCAAAAGAAUCUGCCCAACUUAGAAUAGUGUCGAAGGUCUCGAAAGUUCACAUCCAGGUACUCGUGGUGUCGUCUCCAGUAGUGUUAGAGUUUUUAUGGCCUGCAAAAACCAAACGGUGAUGCUCAGGCUCUGCUUUUUAGUUUCGUCCCUAAACGUCGAAAAGGCCACCAAUGUCGUGACCCUAAAGAAACUACCCAACCCAGAACAGUGUCGAAGGUGUCAAAAGUUCACAUCCACCUACUGAGUCGUCUCGUCUCGAGUAGUGUUAGUGUUUUUUUGCUUGCAAAAGCUGAACGGUGAUACCUAAGGCUCUUUUUUUUAGUUCAGUCCUAAAACACCGAAAGGGGGCCACCAAUACCGUGGCCUCCAAAGAAACUACCCAACCUAAAACAAUGUCGAGGUCUCGAAAGUUCACAUCCAACUACUGGGUGGUCUCGUCUCGAGUAGUGUUAGAGUUUUAUUUGGACGCAAAAGUCGAACAGUGCUGUUUUAAGGUUCGCUUUUUAGUUCCGUUCCAAAACGCCAAAAAGGGGGCUACCAAUGUCAUGUCCACGAAAGAAACAACCUAACCCAGAACAGUGUCGGAGGUCUCAAAAAUUCACAUCCAGCUACUUGGUUAUUUCCUUGGUUUCGCUUCUUAGUUUUGUCCCAAAACGUCGAAAAGGGGGGCCACCAAUAACGUGGUCUCGAAAGAAACUAUCUAGCCCAUAACAGUGUCGGAGGUCUCGAAAGUUCACAUCCAGCUACUGGGUGGUCUCGUCUCGAGUAAUGUUAGAGUUUUAUUUGCCUGCCAAAGCCGAACGGUGAUGCCCUAGGGCCACUCUUUAGUUCCGUCCCAAAACGUCGAAAAUGGGGCCAUCAAUGUCGUGGCCACCAAAGGUCCAGGUGACUAUUAUCUCAAACUUCCCUUUCAAGAUCUGACAACUCCCCAUCGCGGAGGCUAAUCUGCCUAGAGGAGUUCAGUAGUUGAAGAAGUGCUUUGUUUUUUCUCUUUCUUUAGAGUAUUAACUUAGUCGAUCACUCGAAGAGAAUUAGAUGGUAAGUUGUAUUGCCUACAGCUUUCAACCCUUUCUUCCAUAAUCUCCAGAACAAGAAACCCCAUAUUCAUCCCACCCCAAGGAAGGGAAGACCUAGUCGGCAGAACAAAAUAGGCCUCGUAGACCAAGGAAGAGUCUGAGGCUCAAGCCUCAUCCCUUGAAUAAGAGGAGGCGCAAAGAAUAUUGCGAAGAUUUUUGCUUUCUUUUGUGGUGCAAAGAAUAUUGCGAAACUUUCCAAGUCAAAAGAAGCCAGAGGAGACGAUAAAGGAGGGAGAGAGACUGACAUCAAGAUCAAGAGCAAGCCUUUCUUUUUCAAGUGUCGUUGCGGUGAGUUAUCGUGUAGUCUAUCGUGGCUUUUAACGAGCUGCUGAUGAAAAGACAAGAAGAAGAAAGCCUACCCUUGAACUGCGGAGUAUGAGUGAAAGGUUAGGCCUUACGAAAAAAUUCCCCGAUCGAAGAGCGCCUAACCGCUUGGGAUAGCCUAUGAACAUUGAUUCAGUCAAUCCUACCUCUCUCUCAAGUAAACUAGCUGAAGCAGUUCCAUUCCUCAAAAUAUGAGAAAGCUUCUCCGACUUGAGUUAGCUAGCUUUACCGUUUGUGACCUUGAAAAUAGGCUUUCAAUCGAUUAGAUAACCUCUUUAGUCGAGCUAGUCCCACUUACUAUGGCAAGAAAUAAGGAGCCCUUGCACUCCUCCUUAUUGUCCCACUCCGAGAACUAUGUUCGGAGUCUACUCUCCCUCGAAAAGAGCCCACGUAGCAUCAACUCAUCUGGAGCUUGAUUUUCUCCACUCCUACUUACUCUAACCUCUUGAAGUAUAAUAACCUUCCUUUUAGAAAGUCUGGAAAGACGGAUGACUCCUACUGGUCAAUAUUUGGUCUAGUCGUCUGACUUUCCCCUUCUGAGCCUUAGCAAGUGAAAAGAAAGUGAGAAUUCCACAGAGAAGAUUAAGUUCAGGGGAGCGAGCAUCGAGGCUAAUCUCCUUCACUAUCUUAAAUGGGACAGGUCCUAUUCUUUCCUAAUAGUGCAUCACAUGCCUUUCUAGAUGAUAGAUGAGGAAAUCCUAAACUCCCGACUAGUCUCUAAUCCCAAGGAUGGAUAAUAUUCCACCUGAGAAAAGUCACCCAUGGGGCGGUGAAUUGGUCGUCUUUUAGCUUCUUACUCUACCCUAAGAUGGAAAAGAAAGCUCUUCUUCUUCAUGGUUUGAGGGCCUUUGGAUUGAUGGGACGGAAAGAGCAAAGUUCAGCAAGAUCCAUCAUCAAUAAAGAACACGAGGUCUACAAUCUUUAACAGAUGUCGCUCCCCUCUCGCCUUUACCUAGCCUAUGCUGAAUCGCUCCUCUUUAGACUCUUCUUUGCUCUUGGUCUGCGAGAUAGCAAGAUUGAAUGCUAGGUAGUCCUCUUUUUCACCCUUUGCCUAGGCCUAGACACCUAUGGAAGUGAGCCUUUACUCAUAAGAACCGCUACUGAUUACAUUCCGUCUAUCUUACCAGAAAGACUAUUUCAAGGAAUGCGGAAUGAAAAAAGAAUAAAAGCAUAUUCACUAGUACUCUCCAGCUGCUAUGGCACCAACCAUUCAUUCAAUCUCGAUUCCUUUUUGCUUCUCAAUUUCAUCGAGCUCUUGUCCAAUUCGUGCAAAGACUAGUUUACUAGUGUUAUUUUCUACAAAACGAAUGUUCAGAUAAGAGAAACUUCAUCGAAAAGAAAGCGAAAAUUUUCACUGGGUUAAUAUGGAUAGUCCUUCAGAACUGUCUCGCAAUAUGCUUUGCGUCUUAUCCAUAGAUCUUUGCACCUUGCCUCUAAUUAGAGUAAAAGGCAUAAAUAUAAAUCAUGAUGAUAAGGAAAGUCAAAAAUUUAUGAGAUCAAACUCAACCUCUGUGCUCAAAGGGGUAUGUACUGAUUCCCCACCUCGCCCAGAGGAAAAGAAGAAUGAAGGAAAGGUGCAAAGAGUUAUGCCUUCAAACUAAAAAAAGGCGAUCAAAAGGACAGGUCUUAUCUUUGUUCAUUGGUUUUCCUACCAAGAAAAUUGAUCAGUCCCUAGAAUUAUAUUUCUUACUUGAUGAUGGAAGACUUGAAGCCUCAUUACUUGGAGUUGACUCCUUUGAAGCUACUAUAGAUGCUUCGUUGAACUUCUGAACCUGGGGUUUAUGGUAAGCUUUUCUUUCGCCCUAGAGAAGGCUAUGUGCUUUCUUUCUUUGUGUCUAGUAAGAGGAAGCCGCCAAGGAAUAGGAAAUCACUCAAUUCAUUCAACCUUAAGAAUCGCUUCACUUCAAGCCUUCGUAGCUUUAAUAAUUCAUUCUUUCUCAAUUCUUUGAUCAUCUUGAGCCAGCCGAUCUGGAGGACUUAAGAUUCCGCUAAAGUUGCAAACGUUAAGAGUAUUAAGGCCACUCAAAGGAGUCUUACCAAUAAUAUCCAUCUUGAUCCUUUAUAAAUAAAUUUCAGACGUUAGGCACAAAGAAUAUUGUGAGUCCGCUCCUCUUGAGUUUGAUUCCAAUAAUAUUUUUCAUGAUUCUUAUAAACAGUUUCAAAUUUUUGAUGAAUUACAAUGAGCCUACCUUCCUCCCGUAGAUCAAUCUAUGAGCCUUAUGGUUGGGGCCUUUUGUCCUUAUGGCAAGAGUUUCGUUUGUCCUGCUAGUUCAUCCCUCUCCUUAAUAAAGAAAGAAGAGGAUAUUCACAACAAAUAAAGAAAAAGAGCAGCUAAUACGGCUAAGAAAGUGCCACGCCCCACUCCGAGCACCUGCUUGCUCAACCCGAGAUGUAGCGUGAAACCAACUGAUGUCAUUAUUCUUCUAAACAACAUUAAUUGACCCUAACUAUAACUUACUUCUAACAACCUAUAUGAAAUUAAAACUUAUGUAGCAGAAACUAAGAGAAAUAACUUGAACAGCUUUUUAAACUUUAAACAGGUAGUCGAGGCUAAAUGCCAUUAAUUACAAACUUUACUUACAGACCAAACAAAAAUUAAACAACUUCAACUUAUGCAAACCAUGUACAUGAUAAGAUUAAAACCGACCCUUAAAAACUAACUAUCAACAAGUUUCACACUGCAAUCUGAAGACAACGGUCAGGUUCUCGAAACACGACCUCUACUGGAAAGUGAAAAAACAUUUUGAAAGGUGAGCUAAAAAGGCCAGUGAGUGAUAGUUUUAUAAAACAAAUAUACUUUAAAAAUUUCAGAAAUAUAACAUAAAGUCUUUAAGAAAUCUCCUUUAACUUAACACUUUAUAACAUUCAAAUACUUCUAUCAUAAACAAGAUAGCAGAGUGCCUUCUGUCAUACUAUCGCGUUAACCUCGAUUAAAUACUCGGUUAGGAUAGCAGAGAACUGAUCUUUUUAUUCCUGCCUGAACUCGGUCAAGAUAGUAGAGUACUGAUCAUAUUAUUCUUGCCUGAACUCGGUGGUAGCGACUAAAUGGUCAGCAUAGCUCUAUACCUCUACUGUGCACAUUGACCAUCGAGAACUCGAUAUAUAGAGUACCAUGAUUUUCUCUUUAAAAACAUUCUAUUCAGCUCAUGCUUUUUAUAAAUCAUUGCUUGUAAGUCUUAUAAAUACAUGCUUGCUAAAAAUGUUUCUAAACUCAUGUUAUAGAAUACUUUUUUAAAUAGCAUGCAUUAAUAUUUUUCAUAAACAUAUUGAUAAAUAGAAAUAAGAUUCACUUAAAAGCCUACUAAAUAAUAGCUCGAAAAACAUAUUAGAAUCAUUAUCAUUUUGCAAAUUAUAAGUUGAAAUAGUCGUAGUAAAUUUAUUUUUCACUCACUGAUCGCAGAUCAAACCCUUGAAGAUAAGCUUGUCUAAUUUCCCCUUGUCUUGAAAUGACGGAAAACAACUCCAAUUAAUUCCCUUUUAUUCUAAAACAUCAAAUACAUCGCCAAAACAUUUAGAAAAACCUUCCUCAAACCAAAAUGCAUGCCCAACAUGCCAUGCUAAUUUCUUAAACUUGGCCACUGCCCAAAACCUCAUUCUCGGCCAUAACUCAGCUUCUUUAGAGCUUUAGAACUUAAAAAUCCAGAACUCAAAUAAACAUAUAUCCUUCUACAAAGUUGUUGAAAAACGUCUUGUUAUUCAUACCUAAAAUUUUCAACUUCAGAUUCCAACGGAUGUACUCUACAGCCCUCUGGAAGUCCACAUUGUUCAGAACCACCAGUAUUCUGACCUUUCUUGCUUUCUACCGCCAAAACGCAACUCUCCGUUACUCAAAUUAAAUCAAAAACCCCAACUUAGAAACUAGACUCAAAAUGAAAACUUUUAAGACUAAUUUCACUCAAAACACUCGAGUGGAUUGUGAGAAACUUAAUACUAAAUUUGGCCUAUUUAUAGAGUUCAUUGCAUGAGUACAAGUUGACACCUCAUCCUUGCUUAAAUUCACCUUAAACCUUCUUAGGGAACCUCCUACUUACUUUACACCCUUAAAAUGCAUAACUCUUUUGACAAAACUUUCUUCUACUACAAAGUUUCUCUAAAUGUGUUUUCUUCCCUAAAAAAUUUUUUCCUGAAAUUUUGAGGAAGAAAACGCCAAACGAUGCGUUCUGUAGCGUUCUAAGAGUGUAGCUUGCUCAGAUUCACUCGCAAACUGACCCUCUUGCCUUCUUUUGUCCAAACGUCAACUUUCUCAUAUCCAAAACGUCCAGCAACCUUCUUCAAUAAACUAGACUCAAAUUAUGAAUUUUCAAGUCUAGAUUGAGUGUAAUUUUCCGAGUUGUGAGAAACUCCUUUCUGAAGUUAGCUAAAACACCUAACCUCUUUAAUCCUUCUUUCUUGCCAACCUUAAACACUCAAAACCCUUUCUAACCUCUAAAACCAUUUUGCCAAGUCAACCCAAUACGCCUAAAAAGUACUAUUCUUUGAUAUUGAACCAAAAACUUUCCUUCUUUCAAACCUCUUAAACUCUUUGAAAAAGACUACACUACCCAAAGUUUGGGUCUUACAUAAAGAAAGAAGAAAAUAGACUCAAGAUAUAAAAAUAAGGAAGUUAAUCAUCUCGAAAGAAAAGAUAUAAGGAGAAUUUCAUUUUGAUGCCUCUUGAUCUUUAACUCAUCUUCGCUAUUCCUUUCUACCUCUUUCCCCUUUAUGUGGAAAGACCUGGUUGGAUAGCCAUAGGUCCAAGGUUUCUAGUCUUUUUACUAGUUUGGAAAAGCCAACUAAUUCAGUUUAGUAGAGGUGUAAAACGGAGAUUGCUUGAGUUCGACGAAUGAAAGAGAGCUCGUACCCGCAGCUUUUCCUUGAUUAUGCACUCAUGUGGGUAAUAGGCUUUCCUUCCUUGUCGUAGGUUCCUUUUGUUGGGACUUUUUCCUUCCCUCCUUCUUACUUGUUCAUCAUACCAUAGUAAUAAGAAUUUCUUAGAAAUAAGCUACUUUCUCUCCUUCAACUACUGAUCAAUUAGAACCUCGCGUCUGCACGCACCUUGUUUUUAGGACUUUAGGAAAUGGAAGAAUGUCAAAUCGAAUAAUUUGACUUUAUGUACACUAAGACAAGUGAAUGGGUGUCUGUCUUUUAGCUUUUCUUGAUAUACAUGAAUAUAGGACAACCAUAGAGUAUAUGAGAUUAGGGGAAGAUUCUUGAGACCUCAACUCUGCCGCGACUGUCAAUAUUCUUUGAACCUCUUUUCCUUGCCUUUGUCUCGUUAGUUUGGGAAUCAGGAAGAAGCUAAGCAAGGCAUGAAGAAAUUAUUAACCAUUCUAGACGUCAUUCAGGUUGGAUGCCAAAUACGAGAAAACCUUUCUGAAGAGUAUGAAUGUGAAAUUCUCAUAAGCAAUGAGAUAACCACUAGCUUAACCACCAUGAGCCACACCCAUGGGCCGAUCGUACCCCUUCAGUUCUUUUUCAACCUCAAAAAAUUGAGUGAAGCAUCAAAAUGAAAUUCUUUCACUUCGUUUUCAUCUAUUUUCUAGAGAGCUUUACAAAUAAGGUCUUCAACGUAGAACCUAAUUACAAACUGGUACAAUUGUCUUUCUGUAAGAAGGUAUCAUGUCCAUUUAUCACAAGAGAUCGACUUAGAAGUUCAAAUGCACUUAAAUAAUGAGAAGGAUUAUUAUGGGUAGUGCCAAGAGGCGCAAUUCAAUAUGCGUGAGAAGCGCAUUUAAGAAAAAAGGUUUGAGGAGGAGGGGAGAUCCAGAUACUCGUUGGAGACUCCAACCAGCACGAUUAGUUGUCUUCCUGCUCUCAAAAGUCUACCUGGAAAUAAAAGGAAGUUUCAGAAACUUUAGGAUGAAAGGCAUAGGAAGGCGUAGGAGCGAGGGAGUCAAAACCUUGCAUUUCUGAAUUUGAGCUAAUACCUACGGUAUUUCGACCAUUAUUUCUCCUUUUAAGCCACUUAUCUAAUAACCUCACGAAUGAAAGAGUGAUCCAUCCUUAGCAAGAAGAGCUGAAACUGGGAAUGAAUAAAAGGAAAUAAGAAGGAAUGAGGCUUCCUGCUCCAAAAGAAGACGGUAAAGCUUUUGGUCUCGCCUUUUCUCCUCAGCCUUUCUUUUGCACUCCUUUCAAAGUCACUGAUUAUUAUACAUAAUCAAUUCUAUUUCCCUUUCAUGGGAUAGAUGAUGGAAUUUCCGCAAAUUCGAUUAGGAUGAAGAAGCCCACGUAGCAGUUGUGAGUUUUUCACGGACUUACUCGUACAUUAUCGUUCUCAGCACCUCAAUAGAGGGUUCCACUUCUUCUGGAAAAAGUUCAAGACCUAGGCUUGAUCUUUGUAAAUGAGAAUAUAUAGAAAGAUAAAAAUCUAAGAUAGAAGAGUUGGGCACAAAAAAAUAUAUAGAAGAUUUUCGCUUGAUUUUAGGCAAUAUCCCAAAAAUACCCUAUCUUAUGGAGCCUUUGUUUUUGUUCAAUGGAUAAACAAGUCUAGAGGAUGAGUAGGAGGUACGAAGAAUAUUGCAAAGAUUUUUGGUUCAUUUUGCAAAGGAAGAAUAUUGACAAAGAUCAUUGAUAAGAAACUUUCUAGAAUUCUUUUCUCAUAUGGACCCCGUCCAGAGGACUUGUUUAUCCAUUAAAAGAGUCAUGUUCCUUUAAAAAGAAGUUUCUGAUGUAGGCUUUUUAUUUGACGUUAGGAGUUAUUCCAAUAAUAUCCAUCCAGAUUCCACUAAAGUUGCAUACGUUAGGAGUAUUAAAACUGGCUAUCCAUUAGGGAAUUUGAGAGUUAUUUCACUAAAGUCCUAAUCCUUUAUAAAACAAUUUUUCACGACAAAAAAAAGUGAAAGAUAAAAAAAAAAAAAUCAGAACUAUGUUGUAUUUACAAAAUAUACAAGUUAUUUGGUUAUACAUUACAAUUUCUUUAAUUAUUUUUGGAUUCAAUAUUUUUGGAGUUUGAUUCAGUAAAAAGUUGGACAGUGUAUAAAAUUUCGUAAAAGAAACUUUUUUUUAUAUUUAUUAUUAUUAUUAUUAAUAUUUUAAAGAAACUAAAUACACUAUAAGAAAUAAUAUUUAUACAAACUCAGAACCACAUAUAUGCAUAAUGCAUAUUACAACUCAGAGCAAUUUUAUUAGUCAUAAAAAAAAAAACAAUGAAGGCAUUCUUGUUGUAUUAUAUAAUACAAUAAUACUCAUACUCAAAAGUCAAAACAUUCAUGUGCUUGACUUCACAAUUGACAAUUGCCUUCCUAUUAUUUUCCUACAUGCCUUAAGGUCUUUCUCUAAAAUUACAAACUACUGACAUAUUACACCAGAACAACUUAAGCCAACAAUGAAGGUUAGAUUAAUAGAUAUUGUAAUGGAAGUCACUAAGUAGUAAUAACAUGUUACAACACAAAGGUAAAGCCAAAGAUUAAUGUUAGUGUUACAGGAAAAUUCAGUUAGCUCAACCUCUAUAUGGAAAAGCCUAAGAAAGCUUAAAAAGCUUAAAGGUCGAGCUAUAGUCAGAGAACUCAGAAAGCUACAGAGGAUAGCAGAAGAAGAUGGACCACUGCACAACUAAAAAAUUUAGGAAGAAUUUUGUAACAGCCAGUAUUUUUUAAUAUACCUAUAUAACAAAAACAUGGAAAACUUAAGAAAUAUGAACUUUUAAAACUUACACAAUUCAACGGAAGCAAUUUAUUACAAACAAUUGUUAUGUCAAACUAUUCACUACCCUUUAUUGAACCUUCUACCUCAAAAGGGAGAAUACAAGUCAAUUAACGCUAACCUAAACACAAUUUAACUAACAAAAUUUCUCUGAUGCUCUACCAAGAUGUCACCAAGCUCUUAAGAAAAAACAAUUCAACUGCCAGAGUCAUGUCUGAUCAUGAAGGCUUUAAUAUUGUUUUCACUCAUGAAAUGCACUGUUAUGAGACAGCAUAGUAUUCCUCAAGACCGAUGAAUGAAAAAGGACAACAAAAUCUUUCAUUUAAACUUCUUUAUUGGCCAAUGCAAUAUUGCUACUUUUACCUCUGGAAGAAGCUAAUAUGACAUCUGGUCUAGGCUUCCUUAUAACUUUUUUCAUAAGGUGAAGGUACCGAUGCCUCAUCCCCAUCAAAGGGUGCUUCUCUACCAAAAAAAUCUUUCUUAUAAGCCUCCCGAAGAACUACAGUUUGUGUUCUAAUCUUGUUUGAGACAUAAAAUAUACCUGGGUGAUGAACUAUGGCUUUCUUAAACCUAUAACCAAACCCCAAAUAGUCUCCCAAGCAGAAGAUGUUCUCCUUUUCGGUUUUCUUCGAGAUCGUAAGAUAAAGCAACUCAUGGAGAACAGCCACAACCCAUUUCUCAGCUUGGUCCGUAUUUGGUGCUAGAUGAAAUGCAUUUUCAUAGGGCGAAAUGUACGGCAAAUCCUGCCACUCCUCCACACAAUUCAUCACUUUCUUUUGCAAAUCAAAACCCCUCGGGAAACUCAUUGGAAAUGGAAUAUGAUUUAUUUUCCUUCUCCCAAAAUUUCCUUCCAGAGAUUCCCUUUUCUUCAAUUCAGAGACUGCAAGGUCUUUCCUCCAAGAAAGUAGCUCUAAUGCAAGAGGUUGUUCACCUGUUAAACAGUCUCUUUCACACUACAAACUUGAAAAUAUUCAGGAUAACCAGCAAGAAGGGUUGGAAUGAACCUAUAGGGUAAACCCAAAUCCCAUUGCAACCUCUCAAUAACAUAUAGGGGAAAUUUUCCAACCCCUAUGAGCAUCAAUAGUUUUGCUAACCUCUUCACAACAUCAUCUCUAUGUAGUCGAGAGUUAUGAAUGGUUGAUUCUUCCUUGUGGAGAAGUAAAGCUUGUGAGGUGAUUUUGACAUGAGGAUGGAGACCAAGACUAGGCUGGAAUUGGAUGAAAACAUAAGGGUAUAACUCGAAGAACUUGGAGAUGGUGGUAGUGGGAACUUUGAGGUUCUGAUUAAGCAAAAAGACAAGAAGAAAGUGGAACAGAUGUUAAAGGACUCGAAAUUAUUAUAUUCUUAAGGGAAAUUACUUGUUUGAGGUUUUUCUCUCUUUGAACUGCAAAAUCAAGGUAUGGAUCUCUAACCCAUUUGACCUUUGCAUCAAUGAAAGCACAAAUCUGAGUGAAACGAUGAGGGAUUAUAGUAAUUUGUAGAAUCAUAAGCAAGAAAGGUUAGAAAACAUUGUCUAGAUUGGGAAAUAGAAAUGGCUGACAAUGGGAAUCGAGAAGGCUAAACUGACCAAAUUAGACAAGAGUUUGUAAAGAUUAAAUAAUCAAAGGAAACGAAAAUUCAACUUAGACUCUGCUUGGUGGCUGCUUCAGAAUAGAGUCACCCUAACUACCCUUUAAAACUAUCACCUGAUUUUCCAUCUGAAAACACUUUGAAAUCAAAGAUUAGUACAAAAAUACUCAAUAAGCAAUUCUCAUAUCAAGCUUUGAAAUUCACAGAACUUUCUGUCAAAAUUUUUCUAGAAAGAAUACUUUCAAAAUCAAAAUAUUGCAAGAAAAUAAGUUUUAAAACCUAAAUGCUUCAAGCUGAAACUCCUAUAAUGAAUGGUAUUUUCAUACUUUUUAUAACACUAAUAUUUCAAUACUUUCAAAUGAAAAUUCUUCAAUCGGUAAAAAGAACUUUCGAUCAACAAAUACAUCCAUACAAACAAAACUUUCAAUCAUUCAGUUCAAAUACAAAGUAGGAAAAAUGCAUAGUUCAUGUAGCCCAGUAGGUAUGGCUACCCCUUGGUAAGAUCAACAGUUCAUUCAAUCCGAGAUGUCAAUUAACAAUCGACCACAUAUGAAUCGCCAUUUAAAGCAUGCAAACAAUUUUGAAACUAAUUACCUCGAUCGACAAUCAUCCUUGAAAAUUCACUUCCUUGGCGUUCGGUGGGUGUGGCCGCUGGAGUGUCGCCGGAGAAGAGGGUCGGCGGCUAUUUGAUAGAGAAAGGAAGACGACUGAUGAGGCUAGUGUCACGUGGUUAAAGUCUGAAGCUAACCAUACGUGCGGCACUUGGCUAACUACAAUGCCCACGUAGCCAAGUAAGCCUUUUCGGGAAGGGGUAGUGCGCCAAGCACUACACCAACGUGUUGCAGCGAAAUUAAUUGGGUUGGUUGCAAGACACGAGAGAGGUUGGAAGGAUAAGGGAGUUUGGAUGGAUACGUCUUGGGAAUGAUACACUGCAUUCCAAGAAUAGAUUAAUACACAUUUGGGUACAAAUAUGUUGUCUCUUGCCAUGGGGGCCAUGGGCAAGGAGACUUGGUAUGGCAAGGUGACCUUGCAUGGCUAACACAUGCAAAGUUGCAAGGUUGCAAGGCUUGGUACAAAUGAGGCCCUCCCUAAGUAUUUAUAGACCUUCCCCACCGACCUUGGGCCUUAGAAGGUCGGCCAAAGGAGUUUCUAGAUGAUACAAGAUCAUUUAGUACAUUACAAGGAAGCCUAGAACAUUCUAGAGAGGAUUAGACCUUUUAUGACACUUCUUAACCGUCAUAAUAGCCUUCUAAAGUGUUCCAGCACGUUUCAGAAUCAUCCAGCACAUUCUGAGGCCUUCUCGGGAGCUUCUCGCGCAUUCCAGCACGUUCAGCACUGUCUAGGGCGUUCUAGAGGCUUCUGAGGCUGUCUAGGUCGAGCAUGGGCGAGGCAGCACGCACAUGGGCGUGUCUAGGUCCUUCUUGAAGCUUCUGGAGGUUCUCGGAGCAUCUGGAACUGGGGCAGACACGGGCGAGCGCACUAGGGGGCCGCGCGCGCCUGUCGCUGGUGUAGGCUGCGCGCAAUGUUAGCAUCGGCGAGCGUGCGCGGACGUCGUGCGCGCCAUACCUGGGCGAGCAUGGGCGGCGACUGAGCCCCGCGCGGUUGCUUGGCUUGCCGCCUGGCCAUACGCAUGGGCCCGUGCGCAUGGGCCCGAUGGUGGGUGCUGGUGUCGGGUGUCACGGACAUAUUUUUCCAAAGUGUGUUUACCUUUGGUUAUAUGCUCCGAUUAUCCCCAGUUUAUCUCAUCUUUAGUUUCCAUGACUAGUUUAGGUGUUUGCUUUUCAUUCUAGAUCAUAAAUCUUGGGUGUGACGUUUCGCAUUUUCAUAUGCAAGCCUGCCAGAGCUGAAAAUGUUCAAAAUGUAUUAUAGGGGAGACAUACCAGUUGAAUCCCCGCUCGAGCAUUAGUUGUACUCUUUGGAAGCAACCAUUUUUCCUUGCAAUUGACGGUCUUUAAUGCUUAUCGUAACGUCUAUUUCAAUUUAUUUCUUUCUUUCCCGCGUUUUAUAAAUAAAAUUUCCCUAAAACGCAAAGGAAGGUUACGACAUACGUCGACGUUACCUACAACUCUUGGAUUUUUAUCGACUUGCUUGUUCGUUGAGUUAGAACAAGUGUCGCACAAUCGUCCUUCUCGAGGUUGAAACGCUACGAUUGUGACAAGUGGUAUCAGAGCCAAAUUGGCUGACAGUUUAGACAGAGAGAUGUUGACGGUAAAACGAACGGGCAAGACCCAUGAAGAACGGUUGGUGGUGAUCGAAGAGCAAAUGCUCCACCUGAAGGAAGUUUCUGAUUCCAUCUGAUUUAUGGAAGAACGACUUGAGAAAGUUGCCAAGAGAGUCGAUGUUGUUGAUGCGGUGUCUGGUCGCCUGGACGGAUUACCCAUACAUGAUUUGUUGGCUAGAGUUGACACGUUAGAGUCACAAAUCAGGAAAAUUGAAAAUGUUCCCUACGAGCGUGGGAACAGUUCAUCGGGCUCUGUUGCCCGAAUGGAGGAGCGAGUUAUAGAGCUAGAUAACUCUCAGAAGGAUAUAAUGGAGAUGAUAAAUGGUAUGACAGAGGACUUUCGAGCCACCCUGGAUGUCGUUAGAAAUGAAAUCGUAGAGGUGAACACGAAGGUGAACCUUACGAUGCGAGCGUUGGCCAAUCAAGCUCCGGCUGGAGGAGCGAUUACAAUUGGCAAGAUAAAGAUCCCAGAACCCAAGCCCUUCUGUGGGCCAAGGGAUGCAAAGGCAUUGGAAAACUUUAUCUUCGAUAUUGAGCGGUAUUUUAAAGCCACAAACACCGUGGCGGAGGAAGCCAAAGUGACAUUGGCGACCAUGCAUCUAUCUGAGGAUGCAAAGUUAUGGUGGAGGUCCCGAUAUAUUGACAUUCAAGAAGGGCGUUGCGUAAUAGACACUUGGGACAGUUUGAAGAGAGAACUUCGCUCACAGUUUUUCCCCGAGAAUGUCGACAUUCUGGCUCGAUGGAAACUAUGGGAAUUAAAGCACACUGGAACCAUUCGGAAUAUGUGAAGCAAUUUGCGGGGCUGAUGUUAGACAUAUCUGAUAUGACCGAGAAGGACAAAAUCUUCAGUUUUGUUGAAGGGUUAAAAUCAUGGGCAAGGACUGAGUUAUACGAACAGAGAGUUCAAGACCUUGUGUCAGCCUAUGCAACAGCUGAGCGUUUGUUUGAUCUGUCUAGUGACGCUCAAGAGACGAGACGUCAAUAAAGCUCUUCACCUGGGAGAGAUCAAAACAGCCGACCAAAUUCUUUCGAAGCUGUCAGUGGAAGUAGAAGUCCCGGUAGAGACCGCAAGCCUUUCCAGUCAAAUACGGGGAACAUGGGGCAAAGGCCCAAUAGUCAGAGGACAUCUCACACUCCUAUCAGUUGCUACAUUUGUAACGGACUACAUCGGGCAAGGGAAUGCCUACAUAAAGCUGUCUUCUAUGCCUUUCGGGCCUCUUUAGCUGCAGACUCAGAUGACACGUCGAGUCAACCAGAGAAGGAAGUUGGGCAAGUAGAAGGAGUUCAGAAUGUUAGAGUGGGAGCCAUAAGACUCUUGUCGUCCCUUCAGAAGAAACCGAGAGAGACAAGUGGUCGUACUAAAAGGGGCCUAAUAUAUGUUGACACUGGAUCAACCGAAAGCAUGCAAAGGCACUAUGGUUGACUCCAGUGCCACUCAUAAUUUUAUAACAGUGGUCGAAGCCAGACGACUAAACCUUCAUUGGAAGAAAGGUACGGGAAAAAUGAAGGUCGUAAAUUCUAGAGCUCUACCUGUCGUUGGGAUAGUGAAACGGAUAGCGAUACAGUUGGAAGGAUUGAGCGGUUUCGUUGAUUUUGUGGUUGUAGGCAUGGAUGACUUUGACGUAGUCCUCGAAAUGGAAUUCCUUCUCGAACAUCAAGUGAUCAUAAUGCCUGCAGCCAAAUGUCUGAUGAUCACGGGGUCUACCCCCACCGUUGUGCAGACAGACCUUCGGCAACCCAAAGGACUGAGAAUGAUCUCGGCCAUGCAACUGAGAGAGGGUCGUGUUCAGAAAGACACAAGGUGUGUCAUGAAGAGAUGUGGUGAUGGGAAACGUGAUAGUUUGCCCAUAUUGGAAUCGCCUACGAAGAGUGAUUGUCGUAUGGCGCAGUCAGAGUCGUCUAAACUCCGAAGACAGUCAAGGAGAUUGUCGGGUGCAGGAUUCACUAGACCUGCAAAAGCUCCGUAUCAAGCACAAGACUGCUUAUGGAAGGAAGAGAAGGGACGGUUGAGUGUCGACAGCCGUGUCCUGAAGCAAGCCCCGAGGAGAGGGACAAUUCUUGGGUCCGUGAGUGUGACCCAACCUAUUAAAGCUUACGUUGAGGUGCGUAGUCAUGCGUUGAGUGGUGCCUAACUGUAGAAUAGACACCCUAUCGCAUUUGAGGGUCAGAAGAAGAGUGCCACAGAGGGCAAUUAUACGGUGUUUGAAGAAGAAACGUUGGCCAUAGCAACCAGUCUAAAGGAUGGGAGACAAUGUUCCCAUAGAUCAACUUUUGUUAGAGAGAUGAACAACGACGUUGCCAGCCAGUUCGGUACUCGGCGAAUAUGAGUUCGAAUCAAGUAAGGAGACGAAGAGUCGUGCUCAAACUUGAUUUUGGGUCAGAACGUAAGAGAAGCAAUCAUGUGACUCCACAUGUGUCGGCUCGUACACAGGCCUGUCUGUUGGAAUUUUUUGUCCUAAAACUCGUAGUUUGUAAAUCAUAUUCUGUUCAAUAAAGUUGUUUAUUGAGAAAUUAAAUAUUAUAAUCUUAAAUCCAAUAAAUCAAGUUCCAAGGCUAUUUUUGAAUAAACUUGAACUUUAUGUGUAAACAUAAACGUGGAUCAAGUUCGAGUAUAUAGCCUAAAUAGUCUAUAGUAUAUGAAAUAAAGGUUGGGCGCCUUAUUUAGAGAAACUAUGGAUGCGGCCCACUUUGUAGUACAAACGAGGUGAUCCUAAUCGUUCAUGUAGAGACAUGAAAGUGGGGGCAUCCUAUGUAAAAUGUUUACAUAAGACUGAACCAUGAAUUAGUCUUUUUUACGUUAUAACACCGUUUACUGUUUAAAACUGACUAUCUCAAUUAUUGAUGACCUAGGUAACUUAGUCUUAAUCCUGAGUUAACUAUGAACUCCUGUUCACACGAGAUUAUCCUUAGAUCUGCAUAGGUGAGGGCAGCUCAUCAGCGUUGGCCCAAUAAGCCUCCCAUUUCAGAGGUAAGAUCGGGUGGAUAGCUGGGAACAUAGGGUACAAGAUGGAAUUCACUCCUACCCGCUUUAGGGUUAGUAGAUAGGUUGUUCUCUUAAGCUGAAUCCAAGUCUUGAACAAGGGGCCCCACCCUCUCAUUGGCCCGAGAGGGAUUAAGUUUAUAGGAUUGAACCUUAAACCAAUUGUUCAAUAGUGGAUUAGUGGGACUUAAGGAGCAAGAUGUAAUCUUGGGGGUAAAACGGUAUUUUGACCCAGCCAAGGUUACGAGCAACCUGUGAAGGAUUAACUUACUGAUUAUGGUUUUAUCAAAUGGACACAAAUAUAUCUAUAGUGAGGGGAGUGCAACUACGGGACUUUAGUGGAAUGACCCGUUAGUUAACGAAUGUUGAUUAACUCGGUUUAAAAGAGUUUAGCUAGUUAAUCUUGAAUCGUUGGAGCCCAUGAUCUAUAGGUCCAUUAGGUUCCUCUGCUAGCUCAUAUGGAUUAAACUUAGAACAGUGUGAUGAAAUAAGUCGAAUUGUUCGAAUUGGGAGAAGAAAGGGAAACCGACAAAUAUAGUGAUAUAGUCGUCGGUCUUCUAAUUAGAAAUAGAGCUUUAUGUUUUACAUACUAUAAGUAUGAAUGCGGAUUCAUACUAAGAAGCUCGAAUUGAUAGAAUUGGUCAAAAAUAGUAAAAAGUCAAAAUGUUGACUUUUGACUUUGAAAAGUCAAACUUUGACCGGCCUUAUAUUCAAAUGUGAUUUGAAUUUUGGAAAAAUGAAUGCGGAUUCAUGCUCGGAGGUUGGAAUUAGUCAAGACGGACAAAAUGGUAAAAAGUCAAAAUAUUGACUUUUGACUAAGAAAAGUCAAAGUUUGACUUUUGACUAGAAAUAUCUAAUGACCAUUUUACCCUUGGACUAAGUUAGUGGGAAAAUCCAACAUUUUGUUGGAUAAUCCCACUAACUCUUAGUGGGAUAUGUGGCUAUAUGAGAUAUAGACACCUAGCCCACUAAGUUCCACUAAUUGUUAGUGGAACAUUAGGUGUUGAGAUUUGGCAAAUGAAUUGCAUGCAUUUUUUCAUGUAAUUAGGUUAUAAAUAGAGGUGUUUUCAAAUGUUGAAAAAACUUUUGCCUCUUUUAUCAUUUUCAUCAUCUCAACAAAAGAAAAAAGAAAGCUUCCAAUCUCAUUUUAUCUCCAUUACUUUCUACACCAAAAUUGGGUCCCACAACCCGGUUCUUUGUCUAGAGGAUAGCAGUUGAGUACUAGUGGUGGUCUCGGUUAGAAUUGGUAAGAAGAUAUCAAACCUUUUGAAAGCUUCAAAGGUAAUAUUUCUUAAAACCCUAAUUUGAUUAGUUUAUGGUUACAUGUUAAUUGUGGCAAUUAGGGUAGAAAUUCGAUUCUUUUUCCGCUGUGCAUGACUUAGUUCUAUCAUGUGGUAUCAGAGCAUGCUUCAUUUUUACCCAAUUGCAUGUGGUGGGUUCAUAUUUAUUAGAUAAAUUUUGGUUUGAACUAAAAUGGAUAUAUUAUGAUUUUGGCUCUAGAUUAAGUGUUUUUGUUCUAAUUAUUGUAAUUAGCCUUGUUAAUGGCUUAUUUUUAUUGUUGCAAAGUGUUUGUAAUUUUUAAAAAAAAAAAAAAAGUCAUUAGAGUUGAAGUUAGGCUGUAACUGGUUCAACCGGGUGAGAGAAUUGAAAAAAAAUGAAGAAAAGAAGGUCACAGACCCGAAAACCCGCCUUGACCCGCUUCGCGACCCGCACGCGCCGCAUGCCCCGCCUCCUGCGCCGCGCGCGUGCCGCCUGCGUCCCCGCGCCUGCCUUCGCCCGACCCGUGUGCGCCUGGGCCGGUUCAAGCGGUUUCGGUUGGUUUUUCAGCCGGUUCGAAGUUUUUGGGAGUGGUUCUGUACUACACCAAAGUAAUUAUGUAAUAAUUUAGUACUUAGCUUAAUUUAGGAGCCAAAAAUCAGUCCAUUUUAGGGUGUUUUUUUUUAUUUAUGCAUGUGAUGUAUGAUUAAAUUACUUUAAAUUUGUAUGUGCAUUUUGAAUGUCAUAUAGAUUUAAAAUCCCACCAUAGGUUAACAUGUUCAUGCAUUAAAAUGUAUGAUAUAAAGGUUAUAUUGUAUUGUAUGCAUGUUAAUUGAUUAAUAUGGAAAUUAAAAUCCCACCAUAGGUGUUUGCUUUUCAUUCUAGGUCAUAAAGCUUGGGUGUGACGUUUCGGCAUUUUCAUAUGCAAGCCUGCCAGAGCUGAAAAUGUUCAAAAUGUAUUAUAGGGGAGGCAUACCAGUUGAAUCCCCGCUCGAGCAUUAGUUGUACUCUUUGCAAGCAACCCUUUUCGUGGCACGCGUGCGGGGCCUGUGAGCUGUCCUCGAGAGGUGCCUGCCAAUGUCGUGGGCAUAUGUCCUGGUCACCCUUGGGCUGUCUCGGGACCACGUUGGGCUACUCCUGGGCCAUGCUAAAGGAGUCGUGGCACGUAUUGGCGCAAUUUUGCGGGUGAUUUUUGGGGUCAAAGCUUCACAUGUGACAUCAGGCUUACUUCUUUUCAUUUCUUUCUUUUUUCUUCUUCUUUCUUUUUCCCGUUUUAAAUUUUAUCUCUAAACCAAACUCCAACUAACUCUAAUUUAUGUUUAGGAACUUGUAAUUUUGGAGUACAAUAUAAGUAUAAUUGUUUGUGUUAUAUUGUUUUUUUUAUUAUUAUUACUAUUAAAAAUAGCCAAAUUAAUUAAAAUAUUUAUAAGUAUUUUAAAAUUUGAUAUUCGAUAGAUCGAUCAAUGUCACUAAACAUAUAAGGGCUUAUCAAUAUCUAUUAUUAAUAUAAUCUAGUAAAUAUUUUGUCGAAUUUAUUAUUUGUGACAGUUUUUUUCUAUUCUUUUUUACAUAUAUUCAAUAUAUAAAAUAUCAAUUUUUUGAAAAUUUCAUAUAGGAUUAUUAACAAGUUUAACAAAUAGAUAAAAUGAUUUUCAACAUUAUUCUAAUACUAUGCUUUAAAUUAUGUAAGAGAUAAAUCUCUAUAAAUCAUGAUGAAUUAUUUUAGAAUGGAAAACAAUACAAAAAUGUGAGUGUUGAGCAAGAAAUUUUGACCAAUUAAAUUACGUCACAUCAUCACAGUAAAUAAUGAUGAUUAUACUUUUGUUUGAGUUUGGAUAAUUAAGUUACUCAACCCAACCCAAUUCAGAUCCAACAAAACAAAUGGGCUCAAGCCCAAGUCCAAGAAUCAAAUGGGCCCAAGUCCAAACUCAUCUCGCAAAUGGGCUCAAAUCCAAGCCCAACAAGCAAAUGGGCUCAAGUUCAAACCCAGUAAGCAAAUGACCCCAAGUUCACCUAAAGCCCAUGAAAUGUCUAUAAAUAGAGACCACUGUCAUUCAUUUUAAAAGGGGUCUUUGGUUGAAAGAAGAAUUGAAGCUCUAAAGAAUUGAAGCUCUGAAGAAUUGAAGAUUCAAACUUCUACAAGCUCUCAAGACGUGCAAGUUCGUAUCAACUUCGAGAUCAACAACUUCUGAAAGAUUGAAGACUUGGAAGAUUAAACUUUUCUUGGAUUCCAGAAGAUCGAAGUUCAAAUCAACGUGCAACUACAACAUCCUGAAGAUCGAAGAUCAAAAAGUUCUAAGUUUUAACUUGUAUUCGAGAAAAAACAUCAAAAGAGUAAAUACUAGAGAGGUUGUAUUCACAAUAUUCUAAUAUAUAAAGUUCAACUCCACGAAAUACAUUUCUUCAAAAUCUCGUCUUCUUGUGAACAGUUUGACACGUCCAGUGAGACAAUCUCUACCUUUCAUCUCUUUCUCUUUUGAAGAACAUCUAAAGAAAUCAUGUCGAUUGACGAACAAAUGACAUCGGCAAGCAGCCAAAUACUCACAGCCGCUCAAGGGAGACUCAAUCAUCUGAGGAAAUGCCAUCCUUUGAGGCCGCAAAGAACAUUUGGGAGCAACUGUCCAAGCCACCAAAAGGUGGAAUUAUAGUCGAAGAAAAUCCUGUGAUUGACGAACAAAUUUCCUCCUGUGAACGCUCGAAUGAGAAGAUGCCUCAUCCAAAUAUCAUGUCGAUUAUGGUGACUGACGUGGAUACAAGUGAAGACAUAAUGACUGAGCUUAAAAAGAAGAUCAACAUGCUCAUGAAGGUCGUUGAAGAAAAGGAUAAUGAGAUUGCAUCUCUCAAGAAUCACAUCGAACGUCAUGAUGCUGCUGAAUCAAGUCAUUACACAUACUAUCAAAAUACUGACAAAAGGAAGACAAUUAUGCAAGAAAGUCAACCACAAAAUUCAACCUCAAUUGCAUCAAUAUCUAUUCAGCAGUUGCAGGAGAUGAUUGCAAACUCCAUCAAAACUCAAUAUGAUGGACUGCUCAAACUCUCUCUCUAUAUUCCAAACCAUAUACGAAGAGGAUCGACAAUCUCAUAAUGUCGAAUGGAUACCAACCACCCAAGUUCCAACAGUUUGAUGGAAAGGGUAACCCAAGACAACACGUUGCUCACUUCAUUGAAACAUGUGAAACUCCUAGUACGAGAGGAGAUUUGUUGAUAAAGCAGUUCGUUCGAACUCUGAAAGGAAACGCCUUCAAAUGGUACAUCGACCUGGAACAUGAAUCCAUUGAUAGUUGGGAGUAACUUGAGGGACUUUCUCAAUCGCUUUACAGCACCCAGCGUAUCGUCAGCAUGAUGGAGUUGACAAAUAGCAAAUAGCGAAAGAGGGAGCCAGUCAUCAACUACAUAAACCGAUGGAGAGCUCUAAGCCUGGAUUGCAAAGACAAGCUCAUAGAAAUGUCUGUAGUCGAGAUGUGCACCAAGGCAUGCAUUGGGAACUUCUCUAUAUUGCAGGGGAUAAAACCACGCACGUUUGAAGAGUUGGCGACUCGUGCCCAUGAUAUGGAACUAAGUAUCACUCGUAGAGGAGCAAAAGAUUUUUUGGUUCAAAAAAUGAGGAGGAGUGACAAGAAUUAAAUUGAUGACACUAAAAAGAUUACAGAUAGUGUCAUAAAUGAGUCUAUGGUUGUUCAUGCAACCCCUUUGAAAUCUUUCUCUAAAAGAAAAGAAAAACAUUGAAGGAAAGCAUGAUAGAGAGGAAAAGCGACGCCCUUAAAGAAAGACAAGAAAAUUUUUAUCCAUUUCCUGACUCUGAUGUUGCAGACAUGUUAGAGCAGCUGUUAGAGAAGCAACUUAUUCAACUGCCAGAAUGCAAACGACCGAAACAAGCAGAGAAAGUAGAUGAUCCUACUGCAAGUACCAUCGGGUCAAUAGUCAUCCUGUUGGAAAGUGUUUCGUGUUGAAGGAGCUGAUUAUAAAGUUGGCUCGUGAAAAGAAGAUCGAGUUAGAUAUGGAUGAAGUAGCUCAGACAAAUCAUGUUGCAAUUGAGAUGACUUCAAGUGUUCCGCCAUCAACACACCUUUAUGAUUAAUGGAAAAACUUGGUCCAGUUUGGGACUUUUGAACCUGUACAUGUUCGAUUCCAACAAAGGAUCGUGACAAAGAAAUCUCAAAACAAAGAAAAGCCUAUUGAAGAUGAUUGCGAAGGAUGGAUAGUCAUGACUUGUAAAAAGGGGAGACAAUCAAUUUUCGUACAAACGAAGUCGCACUUCCAUCCGAAGCAUGGAAAAGGAAGCAACUCUCGUAAAAAUGAGAAAAGAAAUAAGAUGUGGAAGUCUAAGCCUAUCAAAGGAAAAGAUGAGGACUUCAUCCGACAUCGACGGUUGAUAAUUUUGAAAGAAUCUCCCAAGAAGCUUCCUUGAUGAUCAUCCAAAGAAAGUAUUAGAAGUCCUUGCAUGUCAUGUUGUCAGUAUAACAGAAGUCGACAACAAUUAUGCAUCUUCUGAAGAAAUCGACAAUUUAAAUGAAAUUAAGCAAAGGACUUUUGUCUUUGAUCGUAUCAAGCCUUUCAAUUACUCAAUCUUCAAUUUUUCAAAGAUUGAGUAUGACCAUGAAAGAAGAAGAAAACCAAUGUUUAACAUCUACUUCCACUCAAACUUUAGCUUUCAAAAGGCUAAGUAUCUCCACAUCAAAGAAAUAUCAACCUUCAACAUCUGUUUUUGAUAGACUAAAAUGACAAGUGAUCAACAUGAAAAAGAGAUGAAAACUUUGAAGGUAAAAUCACUUCAUGAAGAAAAUAAUGGUGAGAAGAUACGCAAUUGUGUCUCAUCACGCAUGAAGAGGAAGUUAUUUGUUGACAUAAACACAGAAGGUCCCUUGAUCGUGAAGCCAAAAAUUAUUAUAUUCACCAAUUCUACAAAUGAAGAAGGUGAACAAAUUUUUUACGAAAAUAUUUGUUAAAUGUGUAAAGCUCCUUAUCGCAAGAGCCUAAAUUGCAUGAUGCUCUUAGUCCACAAGAGCUUAAAAGGUGAAUGACAAAAAAAAAAAAAAAAAAAAAAAAAAAAAAAAACAGCAACUCAAUUGAACUACGUUAUGACUUGAUCUCUGUGUUAUAAAAAGGAUACGUAGGCAGCUUAAAGUUUACUUUAAGUUCAGUCGCACGAAAAAAAAAAUUAUGCUUCAACGUGAUGAUGUAAUCUCAAUAGAAAAUGAAAUUCAUGAGCAGUUACAACAGAAAAGAAAUGGGACAAAUGGGGCAAAGUCAAAGUAGCGAGCUCUACCUUUGCUCGCAAGUGUUGCAGCUGAAAAGAUAUUCAUCUUCAUCUUCUCUCAAGUGUUGCAGCUGAAAGGAUCUUUAUCUUCACCUUCUCCAUGUGUUGCAGCCGAGAGGAUUCAUCUUCACCUUCUCCAUGUGUUGCAGUCGGAAGGAUUUAUCUUCAUCUUCUCCAUGUGUUGCAGCCGAGAGGAUUCAUCUUCAUCUUAUCCAUGUGUUGCAGCCGAGAGGAUUCCUCUUCUCCCACGUAUUACAGCCGAGAGGAUUCAUUUUCAUCUUCUCCCACUUAUAGUCAAAAGGAUUCAUCUUCAUCUUCAUCUUCUCCACGUGCUGUAGCCAAAAGGAUUCAUCAUCAUCUUCUUGCACGUGUUGCAGACGAGAAGAUCAUCAUUUUCAUCUCCUAGGUGUUGCAGUCGUUAUCAUCUGCAUCCCCGAUGUGUUGCAACCGUCAUCAUCUACAUCUCUGAUGUGUCACUGCCGACAUCAUCUGCAUCUUCGAUAUGUCGCUGUUGUCACCAUCUGCAUCUUCGACGUGUCGCAGUCGUCAGAAUCUCCAUCUGCAUGUGUUGCAGUCAUUAUCAUCUGCAUAUCUGAUGUGUUGCAACCGUCAUCAUCUGCAUCUUCAAUGUGUUGCAGGCGUCAUCAUUUGUAUCUUCGAUGUGGCUGUCACCAUCAGAAUCUUCGACGUGUCGCAGCCAUUAGAAUAUUCAUCUCCAUGUAUUGCAAUCAUCACCAUCUGCAUCUUUGAUGUGUUGCAGUUGUCAUCAUCUGCAUCUUCGAUGUGGCCGUCAUUAUCUUCGAUGUGUCGCAGCCGUCACCAUCUACAUUUUCGAUGUGUCGCAGCCAUCAGAAUCUCCAUCUCCAUGUGUUACAGUCAUCAUCAUCUGCAUCUCUAAUUGUCGCAGCCAUCAUCAUCUGCAUCUUCGAUGUGGUCGUCAUCAUCUUUGAUGUGCCGCAGUCGUCACCAUCUGCAUCUUCGACGUGUCGCAGUCAUCAAAAUCUCCAUCUCCAUCUUCGAUGUACGAAUCUUCAUCUCCAUCUUCGUCUUCCAUGUGCUCCAGUUGGUCGAAUCUCCAUCUCCAUUUUCGUCUUCGAUGUGUCGCAUUCGAUUGGAUCUCCAUCUUCGAUGUGUUGCAGCCGAUCGGAUCUCCAUCUCCAUCUUCGAUAUGUGGAUCUUCAUCUCCAUCUCGGUCUUUCAUGUGCUGCAGUCGGUCGAAUCUCCAUCUCUAUUUUCGUCUUCGAUGUGUUACAGCCGAUCGGAUCUCCAUCUCCAUUUUUGUCUUCGAUCAAGCUUGGUGUGCUCUACCAUAUAAAUUGACCAAACUUCGUAUAACAUUUUAAUCACACUUAUGUCCAAAUGCAUAGUAUGAUUAAAUUGACAUAUUAACUAGAACCAAAUCCAAGAACAAAUUCACUUAUUUCAGCUUAUCGUUUUCGAGAUUCACCCAUCAUAUAAACGUGCACAAAUCUCUAAAAGGAGACAUUUGUUGAGCAAGAAAUUUUGACCAAUUAAAUUACGCCACAUCAUCACAAUAAAUAUGAUGAUGAUUAUACUUUUGUUUGAGUUUGGAUAAUUAAGUUUACUCAACCCAACUCAAUUCAUAUCCAACAAAAAAAAUGGCUCAAGCCCAAGUCGAAUAAGCAGAUGGCCCAAGUUCAAACUCAACUCACAAAUGGGCUCAAGUCCAAGCCCAACAAUCAAAAUGGGCCCAAGUCCAAGUCUAGCAAGCAAAUGAGCCCAAGUUCACCUAAAGCCCAUGAAAUUUCUCUAUAAAUAGAGACCAUUGCAUUCAUUUUAAAAGGGUCUUUGGUUGAAUAAAGAAUUGAACCUCUGAAGUACUGAAAAAUUGAAGAUUCAAACUUCUACAAGCUCUCAAGACGUCAAAGUUCAUAUCAACCUGGAGAUCAACAACUUCUGAAAGUUGGAAGAUUAAACUUUCCUUGGAUUCCAUAAGAUCGAAGUUCAAAAUCAACUUGCAACUACAAUAUCCUAAAGAUCGAAGAUCAAAAAGUUAUAAGUUUUAACUUGUAUUCGAGAGAAAGCAUCAAAGGAGUAAAUACUAGAGGUUGUAUGCACAAUAUUCAUCAAUAUAUAAAGUUCAAUUCCACGAAAUACAUUUAUUCGAAUCUCGUGUGAACAGUGAGAAUAUGGUUAACCAAGUUUAAAUAUAUAAUGCAACAAUACAAACGUAGUGACCAUAAUCACAAAAUUUAAACCGAACUCAAACAACACAUGAACAUAAAAUAAAAGCAACAUACCAACAUUGUUUACUAUCGAAUAAUAGUCCAAAUCAAAUCAUGGAUUGGUCAAACAUUAUCUUUAGGAGAAUAUUACAAAGAAAAAAAAGUAUGAAAAAGUGCAUUUUAUAAAAUAUUAUUAUAAACUAAAACUAAAAGUAUUUUCUUGAAUAACCUAAAAAACUCAUUUUUGUUUAACAUUUUUUCUAAAAACUUCUUAAAAUAAAAACACAAUCGUGUUUUAAAAUAUAUAUUUUAAAAAUAUUUAUACGUACAAAUCUUUUGUUUGUUAUAUAUACUAAAAAAUAUUUUUAUAAAAAAUCUUCAAGACUAAUCGAUGACAACGAUCGUCGAAGUUGAUUAUCGAAGUUCGUCGAUGAGUCACUAGAGAUGAUGGUGGGAGAUUGGCCGACCAUGAUCAUUGAAGAUUAGCCUAAACCCAAAAGAUAAAUAAUUUUUUUGUAAUAAAAGUAAACUAACAUUUGACUGAACAAUUUUCUCUAUCCUUUUUGACUUCUUUUGGAUUUUUUUUCUUUUUCAAAAUAAGAAUGGUCACUUUGAUUCUCAAUUUUUUCGGAUUAUAAUAAUUUAUACUCAAACACAUAUUAUAAUAACUCGUACUAUAAUAAUUUACACAUAAAACAAAUUAUAAUAACUAAUAUUAUAAUAUUAUGUACCCAAAACACGACUAUAACAACUUAAACUAUAAUACUAUGCACCAAACUUCUCCUAAAAGAAUUUGUUUAUAUGAAUAUGAUGUCUCUCUAAAGAUGAAGAAACAAUUUAUUUAUAGAGAGUGAUAUUGCAAAAAGUUAGUGAAACUUAGGAGUGAGCAUUGACUUUAAAAAAUCAAUUCAAACAAUCGAAAUUAACCAAAUCUAUUUAUUAUUUAAUAUUAAAUAAAACAAACCGCUCAUAGUAAUUGUCUCGUUCCCUAGAUUUGGUCGAUUUCCUAAACCUUAAGUCUAUAUUUUCAUUCUAUAGGUUUUGUUUACAGCACUCGGGUGAAAAAAUGGCGCCCAAGGAAAGAAACCAAUAGCCCUACUAGCGACAGCGACGAGGACGAAACCUUCUAUUACGGUAUCCCUCCGCCCCCUCUUCUGACCCGUCGCUGCCGUCGUCUUCACAGUCGCACUUCUCAUCGCAAUCGCACUCACACUCACACUCUUCACUAAGUCUGGCGGUGGUUCUGGAGGUUUGGUUCCUUCGAAGUCUACUCUCUAUGUUUCCAAUUUCGACUAUUCACUCACUAAUUCCGACCUCCACACUCUCUUCUCCAACUUUGGUAAGAUCGCUCGUGUUACGGUGUUGAAAGAUCGACAGACUCGCAAGUCUCGCGGCGUUGCCUUCGUCCAGUUUAUUUCUCAGGACGACGCGGUGAAGGCCGCGAAACAGAUGCACGGGAAGAUUUUGAAUGGCCGUGUUCUUAAGGCUGCUAUAGCGACUGAUAAUGGUCGUGUCGCUGAGUUUAUAAGGAAGAGGGUUUAUAUGGAUAAGAGUAGGUGCUACGAGUGCGGCGCAAUUGAUGGGCAUUUGUCUUAUGAAUGCCCUAAAAAUCAAUUGGGGCCAAGGGAGCGACCAGAACCGAAGCGGGUAAGAAGGGGUGGAGUUGGUGCUAGGCACGAGGAGGAUUGGGGAUCGGAUGUUGGAGAAGGGUUUGAGGAUGACAAUUGGGCCUCUGUGGUGGACGGAGAUGCAGACCAGAGACUCCUGACUGGCGGUGAGAACAUUGUAGAGAAGAAAAAAGAGAAGAAAGCAAGUUAUUUCAGUGACGAGAGCGACGAAGAUGAUUAACUGAGCCUGUCUCUUUGGAAAGAGUUUGUAAAAGGUGCGUGGUUUUUACUAUUGUAUUGUUUUUAUCUGCCGUGUUGAAAGAGCUACUGUUUCUAAUUUUGGUUCAUUUCUUGUUAUGGGAGAUUGGUUUAAGAUAUGGAAUAAAUGUACUUCAUUUCAGGGUAAUAAUGUUGCAAAGCUUUUUAAUAUUCCUUCACACAACCAUGGUUCCGUGUAUUCAGUCACCUUUAUUUUCUUGUGGCAGGCUACAUUAAGAUAUAUCAAGGUUGGAGACCAAAGUUGAGAGGCUAAAGUCGGUAGUACAAGUUAAAGAUAGGGAGAUUGCAACAGUUACACGAAUAGUACAAUCUCGAGACUUGUCUAAAUUCUAUGAUUUCUCUCUAUUUAACAUUGAACAAGGAAGUUCUUUUCCACAGGAAGCCAAAGGUAAGGCUGCUUUUAAAGCUCAAAUUGACAAGCUACAGUAGGAAAAUGUUGAACUCCAGAGAAGGGUUAUUGGCAAUCAGGUUAUGGUAGUUGGAUGCUGUGAGAUAGAUACUAGUUUCUAUGUAAUAAUUUUAGUACUAAUGUUGUUUUCUGUUUGUGUGCAAAGCAAGUAAGAACUCAACAAAUACAUGAGAUGAAGGAGAAAGAAAAGGAGUACAUCAAAUUGCAGGUGAGAACCUUUUAGUUAUUUUUCGGUUCUAGGCUCAAGUUGGACUCUGUUAGAGGUGUUUAUUAUUUACAGCUGAGAUAGGAGCUUUUGUAUGUCUAAACCAAGUCUUAAGGGAGAAAAAGAAAGAAUUCCUACCAAACCCUUCCACCAAGACCAUAGAAUUCCCUUGAAGAGGCAGAAUACAUAAUCAUCAGUCUAAAGCUUACAGUACUCAAGAGACAAAAGAGUUGAAUUGAAAUGUUCAUCAUGUUUGAAAUGCCAACAAAGUUAAAUGGUAGAUGAGAUGUGUUGAAUUCGUGAUUGACUCAAAGUAAGUUCAUCAACAAUACGUAAUAUUUUCUUCUUCUUGUGUUCUUAUUACAGUUUCUUUUUAAUUUCUCAGUAUUUAUGUGCUUACUAGGGGUGAGUAGAGAUCUUAUACAUCUUAGAUUGGUAUUUCCAAGUGCUGUACUUUCGUACUUUUAAAGUAUUUCAUUUGGAUGUCAUCUACCUCUAAGCCUAAACGCUACAAUGACAAUGGAAGAUAUUAGGCUGUGCAGUAGGUGAUAAAUUUCAGGUUUCUCUUAGGGUGGAAUUAGAAGAGAAUCUAGGUGUUUUGUACACAGAAAAAGAGAGGGAAUAUAAAUGAUGAUUGAUCAUGUAAGCAAAUAAUGUGUUUUUUGUUAAGGAGUCAAAGGGAAUUUAGAUGAAUGGGAAGGACAGGUUGGAAGGAGUGAUUAGAUUUAUGAAAUUUAUGGACCAAGUUACCGUGGGGGGAAUUACGUUGAAUGGUUUGUCCAAUUAAAAAUUUCCAUUACUUUUAUGGUACCCUUAUUGUCACCAUUCGUCUCUUUUUCUAUCACUCGAGAUCCCUUCCUUGCCUUGCCUUUAUCCAAAUUAUUGUCUAUUUCUUGUAGCCAGUGAGUCCAUCUAGCUUUGCUUAAAAAUGUUAAUUACCAAAACUUUAACUACGCCUUAAUAAUGCCUUUUAUUGUUUUGUUUUUGUUUUUUUUUUCUUUUUUGAUUUAACAGUUAAAAUCUAUGUGUUGGUAUAACGUACCACAACGUAUCUAUUCUUAUAUUGCUAUAUCUUAUUUACUUCAAAUCAAUGUCUUACGAGCUAACAUCUUAUUUCAUGAAUAUACGCACUUACAUUCUCACUUAGCGUGGCUCUAUUUUUCAUAUUUCAAACUCACAAGUGAGAAAGAGUGUUGGAUGUUAUGUUAAAUUUACUCUCUUAUCCAUUAGCUUAAGCUUCUAUAUGUAUUGGUGCUUUCUUGAUACACUCAAAUAUUUCUCUUUUAUUACUUGUUUUCUCAACUGAUAUGUAUCAUAAGACCUUUUACAUGUCUUCAUCAACAUGAUACUUAAAAUACAAAGCUCAACCUCUUUUUUGCCACUCCAUGGCAUGAGUAUCCUGGCCCAUUAGUCAUUUUUCUUGAAAACUUAAACCAGGUUAUGGAAGCAUAUUUGAGAGUGUUUUUAGAAACUAGUUAACAAAAUUGAUUUUUACUAAUAAAUGUUUUGUUAAAAGUGAUUUUCAUGGCAUAUUAACGUUCGUUUGUGUCUAUACUUUUAAAAGUGAUUUUGUAACAUAAAAAGUAAUUUCCAAUGACUCGAAAACAUGUUUGGAACUUAACAGAGGUAGGAAAAAUUCAAAUGGAAAAAUAGACAUGGUAUGUUGGCUUGUCUGAUUCUUACUUGUUCUUUAUUUUAUUUUUUUUUGAAAAAUUUGAUGAGAUAUGACAUUAGUUUGUUGUUGAUUGUUCUAUCAUUAUGGUUUUGAUCUUAACCAUCUUUUUCUCUCUCUCUUUGGUCUUUUGUGUUGCUUUUGAUUCUAUAUGUUCUUAAUUUUAAUGUCUUGGGUCUUUGUCGGUGGUGGAGAUUAGAGAUGCUUGUGUUCUGAAGAAGAUAAUGGAAGAAUUUUUUAUUUGUAUUAUGUGAGAUUGUUUUGAGUUUCAUUUUGCAUUUGUUGGAAUGGAAAGAAAAAUUACUCUGUUAUCCAUGCUUAGUUAAGUUUUAGUUAAGUCUACCUUGACAUUUCUCAUAACACGACCCGUCCUUGUCUUCUGAGCUAAGAGGAUCAGGCUUAGUCAAGUCUACCGUCACAUUUCAAUUUAAUGAUCUAUUAUGUUUGAUUUUUCGUGAAUUUGUGUUACUUAAUGAUCUAUUUUGUUUCUCGCUUAUCAAAUAAUUGGAAUUAAGAGGAGAUUUGUUUAACAUUUGAUGAGAAUGGUGAUGCGUUAAAGAUUCGAUUUUAUUGCCAAGUGUCUUCGUGAGAUUAUGUCUUUCGGUAGUGUUGAAAGAGCUGCUGUUUCUAAUUUUGGUUCAUUUCUUGUUAUGGGAGAUUGGUUUAAGAUAUGGAAUAAAUGUAGUUCAUUUCAGGGUAAUAAUGUUGCAAAGCUUUUUAAUAUUCCUUCACACAACCAUGGUUCCGUGUAUUCAGUCACCUUUAUUUUCUUGUGGCAGGCUACAUUAAGAUAUAUCAAGGUUGGAGACCAAAGUUGAGAGGCUAAAGUCGGUAGUACAAGUUAAAGAUAGGGAGAUUGCAACAGUUACACGAAUAGUACAAUCUCGAGACUUGUCUAAAUUCUAUGAUUUCUCUCUAUUUAACAUUGAACAAGGAAGUUCUUUUCCACAGGAAGCCAAAGGUAAGGCUGCUUUUAAAGCUCAAAUUGACAAGCUACAGUAGGAAAAUGUUGAACUCCAGAGAAGGGUUAUUGGCAAUCAGGUUAUGGUAGUUGGAUGCUGUGAGAUAGAUACUAGUUUCUAUGUAAUAAUUUUAGUACUAAUGUUGUUUUCUGUUUGUGUGCAAAGCAAGUAAGAACUCAACAAAUACAUGAGAUGAAGAAGAAAGAAAAGGAGUACAUCAAAUUUGCAGGGUAUAGGAAUACCUACAGGAAAGCUGGAUAUGUAUGUUGCUGCUGCUGGCAUAAACCCUCAAAGAGUAUGUUUUUCUUAGACAAGCUCAACGCCCUCCCUUCAUCCAAUGGUUGUUUAUCCAACUUGAUUUCAAUCAGUUGUGGCUAUUGUUUUAAUUGUUUAUAGGAUUGCCUGCAUUCAGAUUGUUUUAUCUUCUCAUGUUGGGCUACUUCCAAGAAAUUUUUUAAGCGAAGGGUGGAUAAUAGCUCGCUUGUUUAGUCUAAACUUGGGGGAUUUCAAAUUUUGCCCAAAUUUCAAAAUUUUUCAAAAGUUUUUCAUUACAAUAACGAGCAUCAUAACUUCUUAGAUCUUGCAUAAAAGGCAUGACUGUCAACCCUUGAGCACUAAGCUCGGGUUUGUGACGUGAGAUUCUGAAUUUUGAGAAUAAGCUUAUGUCCUUUUUGUUUUUGCUAAGUUUCAACUAAUACACUCGGUAUUUAUCUUUGUGCUUAUGUGAUAGAUUUGUUAUGCACUGUAGUGAUGUGGGGUGUUUCCUUAUUUUCUGCAUCUUAACUACCUUAUUUCCUGCAUUUUAACUACCUUAUUUCCUGCAUCUUAAAUACCUUAUUUUCUGCAUCUUAAAUACCUUAUUUUCUGAAUCUUAGUUGGUACUGAAAUUUGGUUUGUUUCAGUGAAAGAGGCACUAUCAGCAUUGACAUGUACAUGUGAUUUUAGGCAUGAACCAGGAGAGUGAGAGUUUUAGUGUGCCGUGUUUAGAAUUUGCCGAUAUCUUUUUCCCGUUCCAGCAAGUAUUCCUGAUUGUGGGGGUAACUCUCAAGUCUGCAGUCUUUUCUUCAUGAAAUUUGUAGAUUAUCUAAGAAUACUAAUAUCAUUUAAUGUUGACAUUUUUUUAGCAACUUUUCUUAACCCCACUUUUUGAAUUUCAUUAAGUUUACUCUUGUUUAAUUGACAGAUUCUUCCAGUAAUGCUAGAUAUUGGUACUAACAACGAGAAGUUACUUAAUGAUUCUCUUUGUAAGUGAAAGGGAAACCUUCAUGUCGUUUAUCUCCAUAUUUUCCAUGUAAUGUAUUGUGCUUAUAUUGAUCUGUUUCUGUUGUCAAUGGCGAUAUAUUUGGGUUUUUUGUUGUUGUUGUGGUGGUGGUGGUGAAAUAUUUUAUUUAAGUCUCUAGUUAAUAUUUAUGCUUACUUAACAGAAAAUUUGUUGCUUGAGCUUGCUUCAUUUGGUUCUUUUACUUGUUUAAGUCCUCCUCUAACUAAUUAUACAUUUCGUCCUUUUACUUGUUUAAGUCCUCCAAAAAGUAUUCAUUACUUUAAUAAAUUCCCUCACCAGCAUCAUCACCUCUUAUUCAACAAACUGUUUUUUCCCAAAAGCAAAAAAGGAAAAAAAAAAAAGAUAAAGACAAUCAAGAACAACCAUCAACUACAUGAAAAAAAAAAGAGAAGAAAAGAUAGCUACCGAAAAACAUUACUACCCAUUUUCAUUAUCAUCAUCCUCUACUAUGCUUUUCCACCUUCUUCUAACCCAUUUUUCCAUUGCAGGAUUUAUUGGAGUUGAGGAGUCCCACAAUCUUUAUGUUCUGUUUGUUUUUCCAUCACUUUUUCAAGGCUGUUCAAUUGGAGUUCCAUCUUCAGGUAAUAUUAAUGUGUUUGUUUCUAAGAUAAUUUUGUUAAACACUUGUUUUUGUUGUCCCCAUCCACCAGCUGUUUGAUGAAAUGCCGCAUUGAAUAAUUUUGUGGGUUCUUGGGAAGCGUGUGAUCUAUGUGUUGUGGAAUUUGUAUAAUUAGUUAGAGUGAUUUAGGAAAACUUUUGUAUUUGUAGUUGAAUAGAUAAUUCAUUCCAUAUUUAGAGCAUGAUUAAGAGUUAUUUUGAAAUUGUUAAAAUUACUUCAAAAGAUAUUUGGAUAAUUUAAAUGACUUUCUAUUGUAUGUUGAUCACGUUUGAUAGAUCGAAAACUUUUCUUCUUCUUCUUCUUCUUUGUUUCUUCCUGCUGCCUAUUUGACCUGCAACUUUGAGUGUAGUUGCUUGGCUGUCUAAUUGCCACCACUCAAAGUCACUCCUUCGCCUUCUUAUCACUCUUAAUUUUCUUGACAACAAAGUCAAACUGCUACAGAACAAUCGAAUUUUCGUUUGAUUAAUUUUCUAUCCACAGGAGGCUUUUGUAUGUUGAUCACCCUUGUUUUCUUUGAAAAGUUUAAAAUUCCAUACACGAUAUAUUGGGAAACUUUCACAUUCCUCGGGACAUUAAAAGCUCAAGAGCAUUGAUUUUGAGCAAAAUAAAAAUGAAAAUCCCUUUUAAUUUCCAGCAACACCAUAUUUGAAGUUCAUUGUAUUUUCUUCUUCCAACUACAGGUUGACGUGAUUGUCUUGACAGAUGGAAGUCGUAUUCUUGGCCUCGGUGACCUUGGAGUUCAGGGAAUAGGAAUACCUAGAUUGGAGGGAGAAGAGUAUCUAUCUAUUGUUGAUGAAUUUAUGGAAGUCGUGCAUACAUGUUGGCCUAAAGCUAUUGUUCAGGUUUAUUGGUUAAGAUAUCAAAUUUUUAACUGUGUUCACUGCCAGUAAUCAGUAUCGUAAUCUCGCAAUUUGAUUUUGAAUGAUGCCAGUUUGAGGAUUUUCAAAUGAAAUGGGCUUUUGAAACAUUACAACGUUAUCGUAAGAGGUUCUGCAUGUUCAACGAUGACAUACAAGUGAGUAGUUCAUGUUGUAUUCAUGCAGUUGAUAAUUACUUAAAAGGACAUUCAUUUUCGUUUAUUUCAUUUCAUAAAGGGAACUGCUGGUGUUGCUCUCGCUGGACUAUUGGGAAAUGUGAGAGCUCAAGGGCAGCUAUUGAGUGAUUUUGUUAACCAAAAGAUAGUAGUGGUAGGGGCUGGAAGGUAUUGUCAGCUGUUUAACUUUAACAUUUUCUCCAAAUAGCAAUACUGCUAACUAUUUAGGGAUCAUAAGCCUUGUCCUCUUUGUUGAAACAAAAGUGGUUGUUUGAAAGAGGAAUUACUAUUACUAUUACUAUUACUAUUACGUGAAUAUAAGAGAAAUGAAAACUUUGGAAACUAUAGUUCAAUCCUUUUGGUUUAACCUUCAUUUGUUUCAACAUGCUGUUUUUUCUCCUCUUUCAACUUCAGUGUUGGGCUCGGUGUUCUUAACAUGGCUAUUCAGGCUGUUUUGAGAAUGGUAGGGAACAACGAUUCUACUGCAAGAAAUCGAUUUUUUUUCUAAUAGACAAAGAUGUAAGAAUCUUUUUCAAACUUUCAUUUCUCAAUUUAUGCAUCAGUCUGUCCAAGUUUUUCCUUCCAUGAGAGUUACUGAUUUCAGAAACCAAUCGGAUGGGGUUUGGAAUUUGGGUAGCUUUAUUAUGGGUUAAUUUGUAUGACGCAGUUUCGUGUGAAAAGUAUGAGGCAGUUGAAGAAGUUAAAUGACUUGUGGUGGUAGUAAUCAGUGUCAAACUCAUGUGGUUUUUAACUUACAAAGAAAGAGGAAAAAUAUCAACUUAGUCCGAUGCAGAUUAGGGUUUUAAGUCUUCUAUCUAAUUGUUUGUGUGAUAAAUGCAGUUACUUUAUCAAAAACAAAGAAGAAAAGGAAGGGACCACAAGAUUCUUUAGUAUUUUAAUUUUAUUGCAUUACAUUAUAUUCAAUCUUCAUUUUUCUUGGUUGUGCUGCAAAUUUCUAUUAUGGAUUUGCAUUAUACAACAUUGCCAUAUUAAGAUAAAGUUAUGAAAAUUAGAAACACACCCUUUGUAGGAGAGAACAUGAUCCUUCCUUUGAAGUAAAUUGAGAGAAUUUCCUCUACUGCCUCAAUUUUAAGGCUUGAGGUUUGAAGAACAAGGAUGAAUAAUCAACGAAAAAGGAAUGAAGAGGUUUCUCGUUUAGGGAAAAUAGCGAUUUUUCGUUUUUCAUACUUCCAAAACGACACAAGUAUGAACUUAUUGUGUAUUAAAUUGAUCGAGAGGCCUUCCAAUUGUUUGUUAAUCUAUAGUUUCUGUCUCUAUUUUAAUUAACUGCUACAUGUAGAAGCCUAACUAACUUAGUUAGAGUUCUAUCAAAAAAAGGAAAGAAAAAAAGGAAGAAGAAAGAUCAUGUGAUAAAUUUAUAGAAAUGCCAUGCAAUUAUUUUCUAACUAUUAAUUUAUGUUUCUGUGGUAAAUUACUGCUACUAGAAAUCUAAUUGUGUUCGGUUAGUUAGACUUCAUGGGUUUGAUUUUUUUUUUUUUUUUUGUUAAAGAGGUUCCAUAAGUAUACCGAUGGUUUUGAAAUUUUGAUUUGAUGCAUGUCUGAGAAAUUUCAAGGCUAAAUUAUACAGAAUACCCAUAAACUUUGUACUUUAUAUAAAAAUACCAUUGAAAAUACACUCAAAACAUAAACUACCAAAAGUGUUAAAAAUACAGUUAAUAUAAUUAUCCUAAUUUUAGUAAUAAAUGAAAUUGAGAGAACUUUCUUUGAUUUUCAGGAACAAGGAUGAAUAAUCAAUGAAAAAGGAAUGAAGAGGUUUAUCCAUGCAAGCUUCAAACCAAAGCCAAGGAUGUCGAUCCUUCCAGGGGAGUCCAAAGUUCUCCCUUAUUUUUCUCCCUUUAUUUUGAUUUUCAAAAGUUUGCAAUUUUUUAAGUGGGGGUGGGCAAUUGCUUGCAUGUUUAGUCUAAACUUGGAGGUUCAAAUUUUGCCCAAAUUUCAAAAUUUCUAAAAAAAAUUUCCUUACAAUAAUGAGCACUAUACCUUCUUAGAUUACUUAGAUCUUGCAUAAAAAGCAUGACUAGCAACCCUUGAUCACUGAGCUUGGGUUUGUGAUGUAAAAUUCUGAAUGUUGAUGAGUAUAUGUGCUGAAAUUUGAGAAUAAGCUGCCGUGUUUUUUGGUUUAAGCCCAUUUUUAGCGAUAUCUUAUGGAGAUGUGAAUGCAUGAUUGAGAAAAUGGUAUGUGUGUUGUGAAUGCUUGAUUGCAUGCAUAUAAUAAAUAAGUGCAUGGAUACUUUUCUAGCUUUGUCUUCCUUUGUUUCUUUGCCAUGACUUACCUAUGAUGCGCUUAGUCCAAACCUAGCCUAGAUAGAGUUAAAAAAGGAUAGGAGGUACUCUUUAGAAAUUGAGAUGGUUUUAACAAAUUUGUCUUGUCAAACAUGAGUUUGGAGCCUCUUGUCUAGCCACAAUGAACUAAAUCCCUUUAGAAAGGGUGGGCAUUAACAAAUCUUGUUGUCACUUCGAAGGGAGCAGUCAAACUUAGAAACUAAGUGUAGAACCAUAGAAAGGUUACCCCAUCGGUUAUUGUGUGCGUACCAAAGAAAGAAAAGAGAGACUUGCAAAUGUAAAACUUAAGACAGCGAGACAAUUAAGAGCUAAAAAAAACAAAGAACAUAUGCAUUAUACAUCAGAAAAAUCCCAUAAAAAAAUGAAGGGAAACUUCACUUUUGGCCUAACCAAAAGCAGACCACCUACUCUUAGCGUUCUAGACAUAGCAUUGAGUUUGAUGAGGGCUUUGAAAAGAGGAGGAAUCCUCCCCGUUCCACACUAGGGGAAAAACGAGACUUGUCACUCCGAAGGGAGCAGUCAAACUUAGCAUUGAGUUCAAGGUAUCCUUCUUAGAUUCUUGAAUCAUGACUACAUUAGGACUACAAUGAGCACCAUUGUUAUGGAUCAAAAUAAAGUUCCAAAUGUUCAUCCAAUCGUGCCAUCAAAUGUGUCAGAAGGAAAUAUUCAUGUUAGCAUUGGAAAGACGUCAAUAGCAGUGGAAAGAAUUGAAGAAAAAAGUGAAACAAAAGUGAAUGGAGACAGGAAAAUGAAAUUAUCCCAGAAAAGCCAACAAUGUGUAGCAAAUGGUACAAACAAGAGUUGAGAAAAGAUGGGGCGUGAUUUCAUGGUUUCAAAUGGGAAGUCAUCAUGUGUAUUUAAGGGGAAAAUAUUUUGUUUUUCUAGUUCCUUUCCAGAAGAUCGGGUAUGUUGUAAAGAUUCUUUCCUCUUAUUUCAAACAGCAUGAUUAAUGUACACUAUGCACUUUAGGUUUUAGAUGUAUUAUUGUGGUAAAUAGCAUCCAUUUUUUAAAAAAAUAACAAAGUAGAAGCCCUGUAUUCAAUAUCAGUUGACUUGAGUAAAGAGUAGUUCAUUACUGCUCCAACUCCAUGAUUUUAAAAGCAAGUCAAUGGUGCAGAUAGGAUUCUAGAUCUACGUUUCUUUAACACUCCGAUCCUGUUAAGAGAAUGAUAUAAAAAAAAUGGAAAAAUUACCUUUUUAGUCCCCAAUUUUAUAGAAAUAGGUUUAUUGGUCCUUGAGUUUUCAAAAUGUACUCUUUUAAUCCUUGAGUGCUUAAUGUUAUACUGGAGACUCUCAAAACCAAUUUUUAGAAGAAGUUAUUCUACCUUAAAAAUGUAUAAAGUUAUAUUGGGGACUUUCUAAACCAAUUUUUAUAAACUUAGAGACUAAAAAGGUGCAUGACCAAAUGGGUCUAUUUUUCUAAACCUGGAGACUAAAAAUGUACAUUUUUAAAACUCAAGAACCAAACACACGUGUUCUUCAAAACCAAAACUUGGGGAGUAAUUUUCCUAAAAAAUUUAAGAUAGUGCCAAAUGUCAUUUAGCAUGUGAAAUAUUACGAUUUUCAUUUUCAUUUGAGGAAUAUGCCUUCAAAUUUUUUUUUACAUUUUAUUUUUGAACACUAACAAACAUGCAUCAACUUUUGACUUCCAUAAUCCCAAAUAUUUUUUAUGUAUAUUUUGAGAUCAUAUUUGAAAUUCUCCUACUAGAGAGCUGAAAUUGUUGAAUGGAUAAAUCAAGGGGAGGCGAGGUUGUUGAAGAUCACAUGAAGCAGAAAGUGCACUUCACUGUUGAAUGUCAUGGUGGGAUACCAAGGAGUACAGACGUUCAUAGUACUUAUGUGUCAAGUCAUCGGGUUCGAUCAUGUUUAGAGGUAAGCGAUAAUUAAUUGUCUUAUUUGUGAUUUCCGUUUUAGAGCUCUACUAUUGGGUUUUGUUUGUGUUUCCCUUUUUGGACAUAAAAGUCCACACAAGGUUGAAUAGCAUAUUUUGUUUCAUUUAGCCACUGCAAGUUUGGAUUGUGUUUGGGUUGGAGCUUUGAAUUUUGAGGGACUUUAGUUUUGUGUUGAGCCACGCUCUUAUAAUAUGAAGGAUGGAUACUGUUUUUUCCAAAACCAAACGCACAUCAGUUUUCUAAGAUUACAACAACUGUCGUCCCAGUGUAAAAAAAGGUAUCCUCAAACCAACCAAAAGAAGGGGAAUAUGUGAGCAAGAUUUAUAGUUAAUAAAUCAUCAAAAGUAAAUUAGAGUUGGACUCGAGAACUCUUGCUGAUGUAUAGGAAAAGCAGACAAGGUAUGGGAAUAUAAAUUAAAACAGCCUUUAGAUGAAAAGGGCUGCUACAACUGAUCCUACCUCAAAUGGCGGUACCGAAAAUAUAGGACUUGAACCUCAGUCUUCUCCCUCGCCCGUUGUUCUUGGCAAUGUUAAAGUAUCUCAAUUCGUACACAUUCAUCUCCUUGUUUGAAGCAAUAACUCAAAGCCAAUCUCUAAUGUUGUGUUUCUUGAAAUUCUUCUUAGCCAAGUAUUUAAGAUUCCUCUUGGAGAAGUAGCUAUUGGAGUUGAUGUUGAUCUUGUUCUUGUCCUGAGUGAUAGUGACUGAGUCAUCAAGUGUCUCUGCCACCCCAGCUUUGUUGGUCUGAUGAGGUGAUGGCCAUGAUCUUGUCCUCAACUGGCAUCACACAAUCAAAUGGUCACAUCCUUAUUUUUUCCCUUUGGGCCACCAGAUGCGGCUGGUCGAUGACUCAUUCUGCUUCUGCUCUACUACUUGUUUCCCUAACUCUGCAUCUGUAUAGAACAAUUGGCAUAAAUGGUGGAUACUAUUAAAUUGGAAAAUGGAGAUUCAAUCAGUUCUAUCAUUUUGACCUUUUGAUGUUUAGGGGAAGGUGGUAACAUAAAUUUACCUUCUCAGACUAUCCAUUAAGGUUGGUCUGAAAAGAAAAGGGUGGUCUAUCUUGGAAAACAUAUUUGGUUGUUCUCUUUUUUCUUCACUCUGUCUACAUUUUGGAAAUAUGAGUGCUAUCAUUGUGUGAGAGGUUUCUUUAUUGACAAAAUUAAUUGGAGUUCAACAUUUGAAGAAGUCUUUCUAUGACUGUCCCUUGAACUCCAAAGGUUUGCACUCCAUCCCUGUGCCAAACAAAUAGAUGCUUCUUAUAUAUUUUUCUCUGGAAUUGAGAAAGUAUUGAUGCACACUUCUGUUAAAUGCGUUAAAUUACGGCUUUGAAGCCAAUUUUGAAUGGAUAGCUGGCGUAGAAACUGCCAUUAUUGAUGAAAUUUGAUACUACUGAUGAUUUUUAAUUUUAAUUUUAUAUUAUUAUUAAUUUCGUAGCCUAAUUAUGUUUAACUGAUAUUUGAAAUGAGAAUUGAAUAUUUAUCUUGUUUUUAUUUGUUUACUGACUAUUUCAAAUAAACUCGUUAUGAAGGAUGGAUGUUUGUGGGAUACCAAUGGGCACAUUUUCUAUUCUCCUCUUCCUUGCUGUGUCCCUUUGCCUGGAUUUGAAAACAUACGGUUUUGUGUUUCACAAUAUGAUGACAAAGACAGAGUAUUGUUAAGAAAUCUGUGUUUUGUACUUGGGGCCAAGUUUGUGGAGAAGCUGACAAAGAAGGUAACCCAUCUAAUAUGCAAGUUCACCGAUGGGACAAAGUAUGAGGCUGCUUGUAAAUGGGGGAAACAAUGCAUUACAGCUGAAUGGAUAUAUGAGUGUGUCAGCCAGGUACCUUUGCGAUUUUGUUGCUUUUCAAUUAUAUAUGUUCACGUACAUGCAUAUCCUGAUAGAAUUCUAGACCCAUUGUGUUGAUAUUUCUUCUCUUAGAUAUGGAAUGAUUUUGUUUGAAUACAAAACUUUCAGAGAAAGAUUGUCUCUCUUGAUUUGUAUCGCCCAAAAGAAGUUAAAGCUCAAGACAGAGCGACAGGCUUAUGCACUGUCAGCCAAUUUCCUACUCAAGCUGCCCCAAUGAUAGCCAAUGAAAGCAUAUCCCAGUUUCCUAUCCAUUCUGCCAUUCCGAGAGACCAAUCAGCUGGAACUAACAGUAGCUUUAUAGGAGCAGCUGAACGAAUAAGUUCUACGAAGAAAAGCGCAAGUUCUUUGACGAAGCCAUAGAAAAGCAUUCACUUUUGUUGGAAACAGAUCCACUCAAUCUGACUGCAUUUUGAAUUCCACAAAACAAACUACAUCAAAUUCUUCUGUAGUAACUUCACACGUUCCUGAUGUCGCUUCCGCAAUUGAGGACUUGUUGGAGCAGACAACUAAGGUAAAAUCUGGUUUGAGCUACAAUUCCAUUACUUCAUUCCAUUUUUAUUUUAUUUUUUCCUUCAAAUCCUUUUGUUUUCCUUUCUUUUUAAGAUUCAAGAUCAGAAGUCACCUGGAAAGACUGGCUGCGAUAAAAGUAUAUCCUUCUAUUAGGAUUGAUGUUUUUUAUGUUUAAACUUUUGGUUUCGUUUGCAUUUGGUUUAAUCCUUAAUGGUACCAGAUUUUCCUACCAGACUGUUCGCUUGUUGGUCAAGACCAUUCAGAAACUUCUCCAAUUGGUGCUUUAUCUAACCAGUGGUCAAAAAGGUAAUUUUUGCCGUUGUCUCCUUGAUCUUCUUAUGGAAAGACCAUGCUGAAUUGAAGUGUUUAACAAGAACGGUCGCUGCCUGGAAAUAUAGUGAGACCAUUCAACGAAGUCGUUAUGAAAGAGUUUAUUUUCACUAUAAGAGAAAUAUUUUUUUUAUAUUCUUUUAGUCUCUACUGAUGAAUUGCUUCCUAGAACAAUAUAAUUUAUAAUUUCUUUCAAAAUAGGUUCGUUUGAGUAAUAGUGUUAAUUAUAAAACUCAAAUCACACCGUUUGCAAUGCUUGAAAACCAGUAUUCACAAAUAAAUGCUAUCCUUGAGCAUUAACUUUUUUCAUGGGACAUUUGCAAAAAUGGUAAAACAAGUUAUAACUUUAUUAUUUGUGAAAAUGAUCAAAUAAAGUCCAGCCCACCCAUAUAAAAGUCUGGAUUUGAUUAUUUUUGCUAUAUUUUCAAAAUCACAAACCUUAAAGACAUUUUUGCAAAAUACCUAAACUAAUUUGCCACCCAAUAUAGUUUUCCUUUUUCAUUUUAGAAAAACCAGGUUUGGAAAUAAAGGCAGUAGGUUAUUUCUUUAAAAACUAGCCAUUAAAUAUCCCUGUAUUCUAAGUGGAUCUUAGCAUAAUGCAAGCUUUAGUGUUUUUUCGAGAAAGACUAUUAUGUUCGAACACAAUUCAAUUUUGCCUUUGUAACUUGGUUUUUGAGACCUUUGUGUCUUGUAUUUUCUCAGAGCUGAAAGAAAAGAAGAUGUCGGCAAUUCUACUACUGAAGAUGGGACUGUGGGCAUAUGUGAUGGCUUUAGUGAAACACAAACAGAGUCUCAGGUGUGUGCUAUGCAAUCCAGAAGGGGGAAUGCAACUAUACCCAAUUCAUAAUUGUAUUUGGAACACUAAUAAUUUUAGCACAAAUUCCAUCUUUCCAUUCUCUAAGACAUAUAAACCUUAUCCCUCUCACUCUAUACCUUGGCUAUAGUGCUCUUGCAACAUAUUAAAAUUCUCGUAAUUAAAAAUUCAUACACAAUUUAAAUUAAAUUAAACAUCAAGACCCCUAAUGAAUAUGAAUCUCUGUUCAUUUUUCUUUUUAUUAAUAAACAAAAGUUUUUAGGUCCACUUCUUUCAACAACCUCCUCAGGGAUCCUUAAUUAUCUCUUUCCAUGUUCAUAACUACUCUAGUCAUGCAAAGAUUAGGGUUCAUGGCCAAUCAACAAUUAAUCUGUGAUCAAGAUAUUAUAAACGUUAUUCACAUAAAAACAUGAAAAGAUUAAGAGCAAAUAAUGAGAUGCAUUACAAAGAGUAAUUCAUAAACUUUGUCUUCAUCUAUCCCUAGGAUUAAGAGUUUAGCUACCCCAUACUUCACAAUCUAAAACACAAAACUCAAUACAAAACCCAUAACAAAAAUUAAAGGAGAAGAAAAAGAAAAAGAAGAAGAAAAGCUAGUGAUUCGUAUUAUUAUCAGACUGUGUAUAACAGUAUGUGUUUUUUAAUAUUCUUUGUUUCCAGCUCCAGUGUACCAAAAUAUUAUCACAAACUCCACAAUCCUUCUCUUUCCAAUCCCUAAACUAAAAGAUAAUAGAUUUAAACAAUAAAUCAAGUUAUUCGAGGUACUUGGAUCCUCCCUUCUUGAGAUCACAAUCUCAAGCCCUAAAACCCAAAUAUUGCUUCUCUUCUCCAUUCCCCUAUCCCUCUAUUUAUAACCAAAUAUAACCCACUCCCUAACUAUUUAUGCCCUCAAUACCCAAAUAACCCCUAAUACCGAUCCUAUUCGUCUCAAGGUGGUUUCAAAAUGUAGACCAUUUUGGAGGGGGUGACUGCAUUUUUACCAUCUUUAUUUAAUUUCAUCUAUGUAGAAUGCCAUAACUCACAGGUUGAUGACGGUGAAUGGGAUGUAUCCACAAGUAACUGCUCUAUGCAUUGGAAAUGCUAAAUACUUUGGCGGUGGUAUGAAAAUUGUGCCAAAUGCCGAUCCUUCCAACAGGAGUCUAGAGGUAUAAUUCGUUUCUGUGGGAUUUUAUUUGAUCACUUUUUCCUUCCUUGUCUUCUUAACUAUGUGAUGCUUUUCUUUGCAGGUAGUAAUUCUUCAGGAUUUCAAGUGGUAUGACUUUAUUCUGAAUUUACACAAAAUAUACAAUGGGACAUAUUUGACGGUGAAAAACGUAACAUCAAGAAGGUUAGUCAUCUCUUUAAAAAUUAUAAUGUGCCUAGAUUUUCCAUUUUGUAUUUCAAUUUUCUCUCUCCAACGGUCUGUUUUAUGUUGGAGACUUGUGGAAGCAGAGGUGAAGUAUAAUUGAACUGGAUUUGCAUGGAGCAUUGUGAUUUUCAUUUCUGUCAAGUUUUUGCUUGAGAAAAACUUACACUCAAACUUAUAUGGAGAUGCUUUAUUUACCUAGCAGAGAAGCCCUAAGAAAAGUAAUAUUGUUAAGUGUCUUCGUGAGAUUAUGUCUUUCGGUAGUGUUGAAAGAGCUGCUGUUUCUAAUUUUGGUUCAUUUCUUGUUAUGGGAGAUUGGUUUAAGAUAUGGAAUAAAUGUAGUUCAUUUCAGGGUAAUAAUGUUGCAAAGCUUUUUAAUAUUCCUUCACACAACCAUGGUUCCCUUUAUUC